UCUACUUACCCGCCAUGUGCAAGGUCUAUUCUUUACAAUAGAUCAUCGAGCAUGGGCUCUUCCCUAGAUUGACUCUGCCAUGAUAAAAAUUAUCCCCAUGCCCUCAGCACAAACUCGGCAGCUCGUGUUUCGGAGAAGAGUGAGUUAACAACACGGAGAGUCUUGCUAAUGUGUGGCGCAUUGGUGUGUUGGGUCAGGUUGGAUCCGUGAGCCGCACCAACUUCUCCGGCGCGGGUUCCUCGGGUUACUACGAUGGGCGCUACUGGACCAUGUGGAAGCUGCCCAUGUUCGGGUGCACCGACUCUUCGCAGGUGCUGAGGGAGAUCCAGGAGUGCAAGUCGCAGUUCCCCAGCUGCUGGGUCCGCGUCUUGGGCUUCGACAGCAAGAAGCAGGUCCAGAUCUGCGGGUUCUUGGUCUCCAGGCCCAACUAGAUUAAUUGGCCGGUGGCCUAGGUAGCACUUGGUUCUUUUCAGUAGCGACAAGGUAGUCGUGUUUAUGUCUAACUAGUCGCAAUGUUGAGGAGGCUUGUACAGCGACUUGUUUAAUCCAAAGAAUCCCAGGGGCAACAUCUUGACAUCACAUGCUUCUGCAACCACGAAUGCUGUCAGUCAGUCUGUUAGCCACGCGACUUAGGAAGAGUUGGAUGUAUCGUUCAAGCGAUCUGUAGAUUGCGGAAACCCGAGUGGCACCAAAGCCUGGGGCUGCUGCUGUAGCAAAGCAGCGAUGCCCUAUUUCGUCACAACACUCUUCACACAACUCACACGACACAAACUGUGAAGUGAGCUUUGAGUUAUCCCUGCACAGAACACUUGCCAAAAGCAUUGGUACAGCAGCUCUAUGCGUAAACAGUGUGACGAUUUAUUUACGGUGACUGUCAUGACUCGAUCGCAGAGGAUGGUUGUAUACCGCUUCUGGUCAGCACUCCGUAGCAACUCCAUAUCAGCAUCUAGGUCCGUAUGGAGCAGCGCAUGAGAAGCUCAUGAGAAACUGUGUCGCAGCGUGUUCAUUGUCUUCACAAAUCAACAAAUCAGAAGUGCAAGAACUGAAAUUGGAGAAAGUAUCCAGCGAACCCACGUUUAUCCCAUUCGCAGAACUCGUACAGUCCAGUGACAAGACCCCCAACAACAAAUGCCACAAACAACGUCUAUGGUAAACUUCGAAGACCGUGGUCGCUCCAAAGCGGGGACUGACUGCCUGUUCUUCAGGAGGUUGUCUGCUUCGACUUGUCUCCCCGUGGUUUUGUACACAACGGUUAUUUCAAAGUUGUAGAGGUGAUGAAUUUGCAACAGGAGGAGCCAGUUUCUACCUGCAUUGUGAAUCAAUUAUCUAGAGUGAGAGUCUUGCUCCCUCCCUCUUCCUGGUAUUAUUUUCUGUUAAGUAACUCAAUGUUGACAAACGGCUCCAAUUGGAAGAAGCAGGUCUAAAUUUGCGGGUUCUUGGUCUCCUAGCGCAUCUAGAUUUAUUUGCCAGCUCAUGAAUGGUGGCUUGGGUAGCAGUUGGUUCUUUUUAGUAGCGACUAGAUAGUCGUUUUUAUAUCUAAUUAGUCGCAGUGUUUAGGAGGCUUGUGCAGCGAAUUGUUUAAUCCCAGUGAUCCCACGGGCAUCAUUAUGAUAUCUUCAUAUACUUCUGCAUCCACGAAUGUUCUCAGUCAGUUUGUUAGCCACUCUACUUAGGAAGUGGUCGUAUCGUUCAAGCGACCGGUAAAUUAUGGGAGCCAGGAGGUUUCCUCCAACACAUAGCAGACAACAGAAGAUCCAACAGUUGAUUAUCUUUUCUUUGCUUCGCUUUCGUCUAUCACCUUUCAAUUGACCACUGUGCGACGAUGUAGAAUUACACAAGUUGCACUCGAUUUUCCCACUGUUAGGUUUCGAUGCAGCUGAAAUUCUCUGAUUCGUGACUGUACAUCUGCAUUUGACAGGUCCAAGUUAAUUUUCUAAGCUUUAAUGACAGUUAGCAAUUGAUAAUUGUUCAAUUCCGAUGUCUUACAUUUUGCACCACUCACGACUUAUCUGACACUGUCUGGCUCACAUUUCAGUGUCAACUAGACGCAUUUCUAGCAACCGUUCAAAUUCACUAAGAACACCAACUCUUCACGAAAAAGACACCUCCACAAUUUACGCAACCGCCCGCGCAAAUUGUGGAGGUGUCUAGCUUGUUGCUUGCCCAUGAAUAGAUCCGCCCGCCCGCGCACCCGCCUGCCCGAGGUGAGGCUAGGUAAACGCCUGAGCGAACCAGCUUAGAGCUGCAGCCUGCGUUUUCUGAAUCCUGGCAAACCAUCGCGUCGUCGAUGUCCAAUGGCACUUCGCAAAUACCUCGACCCCGAUGCCGAGGGUGGAGCCAAAAGUGGCGGUAGAGAUCUGCGCGCCUUGAUGUGUGCCUGCAACGCUGAAAUGGCCGCUGCAUUACCACCGCUCACAAGCAGAAGCUAGAUGCUCUAUUCAUGGGGAAGUGUUUGUUGCCCAACUGCAUGCAUGCACUGCAAUGUGCUUUUGUGAACGUGCUGCCAAAUGGAUUUGAAGGAUUGGUGGACAUGGUGUUCACCGCAAGAGUAGCGAUCCGAGGUGAAUGGAGAGCCACUGAGUUUGAGGUUCUGGGAUCCUUACUCUCUUGUCCAUCCUGCGGUGGUGCCAGUGGGGACAAAACUUCAUGCGGCUUUCCAUCCACUGCCUGUGUUCUUCGUGAACUUCAGCAACCAAAGCAUUUGUGGCCGGAGAGGAACAGGUGUUGAGCUCGUAUCAUCGUAAUAUGUUUCAUCUUCGAUGAGUUUAUUUUGUGCAAUCAUAGAUUAUAUUUUUAUGUGCUUGCUCUUGCCCGGGCCCCCAAAAUUUAAAUUUUAUUCCGUGGAGAGCAGAGAACAAGGCGGACUUGGGCGAGACUAAGUAAUAAGGGCAAAGGCUAAGGGCACUAAGAUGAGGGGUCAAAACAUUAAUAGAACAUAUCUUGCUUAUCUCGUAGGUGGUUGGGUUUACACUUGAGACUUGCCUACAUCUACAAGAAUCCUGAUCCACUACCACCAACCAUCUUGCUGCUAACCUUGGGUCAAAAUCUUUAUCAUUAAUAUUAAUAUGAAUAUUAGCGCAGCUCACUGCAUGUUUGCUGCCCAUUAAGAAUGGGCAAGCAACAAGCUAGACAAAAAGUAGAUUGGUAUCACGGAUGAAUAAAAUCCAUGUGCAAGGAUGAAGCAAGGUAUGAAUUGGGCACCUAUCCCUUAAAAUUGAGCAUUUGUAGAUGCUAAAGUGAAUAAUGUAAUCUAUUAAACCUUAUUAUAAAAUCAACACAUUAACUUGCAUUAGUAAUAAUACCAAUAUAUGAUAAUUACUAAAUGUGCAAUUGAUAUUCUAAAUGAAAAUAGACUUAAUUUCAGUGACAAAUUUGUUUCAUUUAAUAUUGAUUUUGAAGUUGGAACAAGAUUAUAGGCACUUUUUGUGCGACUUUGUUUGUUCAUUAUUAAUUUAAAUUAACUCAACUUUUCUUUUUAUCCAUUUUUUCCCAUUUAAGCAUAUUAUUGUUUUAAAAUAAGUAUCUUAUGUAAGUAUGAUUUCUAACACAUAAUGACUUGGUUUUUAAAUAAUCAUAUUAAAGAAAACACCUUAUUAACCUGUUUAGAUUUUAUUAUAAAAAUUUGAAAAUAAAUAAAAGUUGUAUAAAAGUAAUAUUUAAAUUUUAAGACAUAUAAAAAUUUUAAUCAAAAAUAAUAAUAGCAUCUAAAAGCUUAAAUAUACUAUAUUGUAUUUUUUUUGAAUUUAACCCACAUAAUAAGCUAGUAGAAACGUUUUUUAAAUUUUUAAAAUCAACUAAAGAUACAAUGAGAUUUUUUGAAGUUGUAAAGUAUAAUAUGUAAAAUACUAAUGAGGUGUACAAAAUUUUAAUAGACAUAGAUAAGAAAAAUAUGUUGUAAUUUUCUAAAUAUUGUUCUUUUGUGAUUCUUGUAUAUUUUAGAUAUUUAGUACAAUUAAAAAAAGUCAAAUUUUAAAAAAUGAAAUAAAAGAAUCAUUGUAAGAUGUGUGUAUAGUAUAUGAAAUAAAAAUUAUAAUAUACAAAUAAAGAUAAUUAACAAGAUUCAUAAAAAAUAUUUUUAGUUUUUAAUUUAUAUAUUAUUUUAAUUAUACUUGAUUUUUUUUAAAAUAAUAAUUUAAUUAUAAUAGAAAAGACUUUUUUUCAUAAUAUUUUUUAACAAUCCAUUAAUGCCUUUAAUAUAAAGAUUUUUUUAUUUUGAUAGGAUAUACAAUGCAUUAUUUUGGAUUAAGACUAAUUUUUUUUUGGAAUUUAAUUAGAAGAGCAUAGUUCUAAUAAAAAGAUAUUGGAUUAUAUCAAAAAAACUAAUAUUACAUAAUUUGUUCCAAAAAUUAAGUAUGUGCUAUCAAAAAGUCAAACUAAAUAUUUUUCAUAAGUAAUUUGUGUUGAUAUGUUAUUAUUUAUUUUAGAAUAUAAAAAUUAAGUUGAAAUCCUUAUAAUGAUAAUAUUUCUUAAGUUAUGUGAUACAACAAUUAUGAUUUAUUUAUCAAGUAUUAUAAUGCACCAUAAUUUGUAUAAACGACUAAUAUAAUAUGUAAUUUCAAAUAUUUUCAAUAAUAUAUUAUUAUAGAUAUAUAUAUAUUGAAACUAAUAGUUACUAUGUUAAAAAUAAUUGAAUGGAAGCAAUUAAAAGUAUAUAAAUUUGAUAAUAUUAUGUAAAAAAGCUUUUUAGGAGCUUCAUAGAUUUGGAUUUGACUUUAUAAGUAUUUGUAGGUAAUUAAUAGGUUGAAAGCUUGGCCAACAAGUUGGCCAUGUAGCACACAUAUUAUAAUUUUUUUUUAUAAGUUACAUAUGUCUUCUACAAUUUGGACAUGUGUUGAGUGACCUAUAGGUUAUUGCUAUGUAAUUUCUUAGUUAGAUAGUAUAUAUAGAAGUAAGAGUGAGGCCUUUAUCACUCUUGUAAAUGCCUUUCUUGUUUUUAGCCUUGUUUCAAGUAUAUCUAUACUUCUUGUGUUUAAUAGUAGCUAUUCUAGUUUCAAUAUUAUAACUAACUUUCAUUGAAUAUUUAGUCUUUUUUAGUGACACAAGAGUGUAUUGAUUCUUUGAUUGAUUUUUGAUUCAUGUCCUUGUCAAAUUAACAAGAGUAUACUUACAAUAUCAAAGAUUUUUCUUUUCUUGAUAAGAAAAUGAAUUACUUCUUUUUAUUGAUAAUACUUAAGCAUAUAGAGAAAUUUUAAAUUAUCUACUUUUAAUUUUUUUUUUUUUUUAGAAUUUUCUUUGCUUUUGUUUUUUUUCUUUUUUUAUUUAUCACAAGUAAUAUUUUGUAUCUUUAUUUCUAUUAUUUUAUUAUGAAAAUAAUCAUUAAAAUAAAAAAUAAAAUAAUAUAAAUAUAGGAAUAAAUAAAAAAAGUUAAUACUUGCAAUACAUCUACUUAAUUCACUACUACAAGAAACAUAAAGAUUGGUUGGAAGAAAAGAUACAAAAAUGAUUGAAGUUGUUUUAUCAUCUAUAUUAAAUCAUAUUACUUUUUUUUAUGAUAAAACAUUAUUUAAACAUCACAAUAUGUAUUAGAGAACUAAAAAAUGCCUUGUUUUAAAAUUUUAAUGGUACAUGAUCAAAGUUUUGAAAAUAUAUCACGUAAAUACAAUUGGUGAUUAAGCUUCAAUCUCAAAGUUAUCUAACUUAAUAAUUACAAGUCAAGUUAAUUAAAAUAUUACAUUUAAGUUCAAUUUUGUUAUGAUUUUUAUCUUUUUUUGAACAAUAUGAUCUAAUAUUGAAUAAUAUAGAGGUUUUUUAUGUGGAAUAUAAAUCCAUGUAUGAAAAAAAUAUUAAAAUUUAUAUUGCAACUAAUAAGAUUCUUAUUUUAAAUCAAUGAAAUUGUUAAAUAUCAUUAAAUGCUUUAGAAUUUUUACAACUUGCAACUAAUAUUAAGUGAGUUGAUGAUGCACUCAUCAAUCAAUUUUUUUAUGGAUUGCAACAUGAGAUAAAGAAAUUGAUGCUAAAUUUAUAUAAUCUUCAUACAUUGGAUCUAAUAAUUAAUUUUGUUGUAAAAUGUGGCAAUAUAUUUUUUAAAUUUUUAAUCUAAGAACUAUACAAGUAUGCCUCAAUGUCUUUAUAAUUUAGUGGCAAUACAAAUGUCUUGUUAAAACAUACAUUUGGAAGUAAAGGAGAUGCAAAUUAAUGUAGUAUGUUUUAAACUUCUCAAUGAGCAAAAAAAUAUUCAACAUUGUCAAGAAAGAUUGUGCUUAUAUUAUAAGAAACUUAAGUACAAUACUCAAUAUUAUCUAAAGAAGUGACAUAACCACAAAGUAAAGAGCAUGGUUGUCAAAGUUGACAAUAUGUUGAAAAAUGAAUUUGUCUAACUAUAAUUUAGAUUGAGCAGCUAGAAUAUUUUGUAAUACCUAGUGAAGGUCUUAUUAUUUCUUUAAAAUCCUUAUAUUUAUUCUUAAUAGAUGUUUGUUUAGGACCUAAAAAUUAAAAUUCCUUUUUCUUAUUAGAUUUUUAAGCUUAAUUAAUUAAUUAUUUUUUAUUUUUAUUUUUGAAAUGAAUACUUUAUUAAAAUAUAUAAAAUAUUUUUAUUGAAGAAAAUUAAGUCCAUACAUAUAGAAGUCAUAAAUUUUUGUUUUUCUUUUGUUUUGUUUUUUUUUUUAUUUAUUUAUUUAUUUUUUUUAUUUUGAAGAUAUUUUAAUAAAAUUAUUCUUAUAAAUAAAGCAACUAAUGGUCAAACUAGAUUAAUAAUAUAUAAAAUUAUAAAAACUCCUUCUUAUAUAGUUAUUUUAAAUUUAUUGUACUUAAAAAAUUAUGACUUUUAUAAAGCUUGGAUUCUUUAUAAUCUUAAUUUUUUUUGUAGUACAACUAAGACUAUAGACUUUUUUUUAAUAUUUUUCUUAUUAUAAUUACCAAUUACAACUACGAUUAUUUUUAAAUUAUAUAGCUAUAUUAAUUCAUAAAAAUAUAAAUAAUCUAUUUUACAUUGAAAUUUAUCUAUCUUUUACAUAUUUUGGAUCUUUUUCACUGUAUCAUUUUUUCUAAGUAGCCUCUUUUGACUUCCAUGCUAAUUUUAUUUUUAUUAAAAGUUGCAUCAGUAAUUAUUCUAUUUGAUAGUCUUCUCAUCCUUCAAAGAAGAAGUCUUGGUCUUGAUAAGAAUGAAACUUUUUUUAUCUUCAUCACAUCCUUGAGCUAAUUCUUCUAAUGUGAUACUAUUAUAAAGAAUGUCAAAUUAUCAUUCAAAGAUAGAGAGAGGCUUGAAUUUCUUAAUUCUAUACUAUAUUCAAUACAACCUCCCCGUAAUCUUUUAAAAGGUUUUUUUUUUUUUUUUUUUUUUUUUUUUUUUUUCUGUAUUGGAAUUCUCUCCUUUCAAUAAUAAUACUUUAAAUCUCUAUUAUAGUUCUUAUUGUGUGUUAAUAUUAACAAAGUGGAGAAUUUAGAAGAAGAUUUUUAUCAGAUCUUUAAUUAAUUUCUUAAAUUUUUUUUAUGCAUUAACUAUAUUCUUCACAAAAUUAGUUGUGGUCUUUAUUAUAGGAUUUAUUGAUAUAAGUUCUAAGUGAUUUAUGGUCUAAUCUCAAAGUUACACUUUAGUAAUUAACUUUGGAUUGAUAAUAUAAAAAAUACUUACUUCUUCAAUUAAAAUUGCAUGUGCACUAAUGAAAGUGGCUUAAAAGUUGGAUUGUUAAUCCAUAUAGUAGAUUUUAUGCAUUGAUGUUCUCUUUCUUCUUUAAAUUAUACAUGUGCAUUACAAAUGAGAGGUUAGUCAAAUUUGGAUUGCUUUAGAUUGUAUCUUUAAUUUUAAGAGGCACUUCUCUUAAUGCAAAUUUGCCAAUCAUAUUAUCUUUCAAAACCACAAAGGCAUCUUUUAAAAAUGACCACAUCCUUAUGCAAUUAAGUCUUCAUGUAAUAUUUUCUUCUUUGCAUUGUUAUUUGAAUUAGUAUUAAGGACAAAAACUUGAUAAAAGUAAAUAAAUAAGUGAGACUUUUUCAAAGAAGUAUAACAAAAUAGAAAUAAAGAAGUACAUUUAUUAAAAAGAAACUUGAAUGGAUAUUGCCAAAAGAUAAAAAAAUUAGAGACUUCUUGAAAUUAGAGUAGAAGUCAGCAAAGAAUUGACAAGAGUGAAGAAAGCUUCAUUCUUACCUCUAUAUAUACUAUUUACCUAGGAGCUAGAAGGCAAUGUUCUAUAAGACCUUCAAAAUAUAUUGAUUUUAUACAAUGCAUAUCUUAACUUGCAAAGCAAGUUUUCUAUAUGGAUACUAUAUAGUUAACUUAUUCUACAAGCUAUCAACAUAUAUGGUAUAUAACUAAUUUGUUGAUCAAGUUUUUAACCUACCAAUAAACCAUAAAGACAUGUAAAAUCAAAGCAGCUUCUAUGAAGCUUCUAAGAAGCUUUUCAAGAAGAUAUUAUGAAAUUAAUCUAUUUUUAUCUACUUCUAUCUAUUCAUAUAAUAUAAAUAAUAAUUACAAUAAAUAUAUAUCCAUGAAAUUAUUCCCUUUUUUAGAGACGAAUUCCACAAGGAGCAAUGAUUACAUGUUGAAGAAGUCUAAGAUAUGGUAAAUUGCAAUUUCCAGGUGCUUUGAUUUUUUUUUUUUAUUAAGGUAGUUCAUAGGUCCUCUCACCCAUCAAUAAUGUCCCAUUCCAAGGCAAGAAGAUCAUCUUAUUAUUUGAUCAUUGUUGAGACCUUUGUAACUUCUUUCAAACAAAAUAUUUGUAUCACUAUCAAGAGUUGUCUCUACCUCCAAUAAAAACACCAAACAUUGAAAUUCUUUUCUCAGGUUGUAAUAUCAAAUGUGUUGUAUCUCGCCAUUUAUUUAAAGAAGAAUAUAUUACUUUUGAAGCAUAUAAUAUUACAAAUUGAUUUAUUAUUACAAAAUAUAGAUCUUCUUUGUUGCAACACAAAUUGCAUCAUUUUUUUAUACAUAGAUCAAAAUUCCACUGAGAGAGAUUUCAAAUUAUCUAAUAGUAGAUUACAUUAGUCAAGAAAAGAUAAAAACUAUGAUUAUGCAGAACCAAAAAGUAACAUUCCAAUAAACCUUAUUUGUGAUCUUAAAGUUGUAUAGCUUUGGAGUUUAAGUUCAAUUGCUAGUUGUACUUGAUUGAUAAAUCCAUGAAACUUUAAUCUUGUACCAUUGAAUUUCUUAGAUUAAGAAAUUCUUGAUUUUUUAGGACUUGAAAGAUAUUCCAUGAUAAAAAAAGAGAUAAGAUUUAAUACAAAUGUUGAAGCAGCUUCAAUCAUCUCUAUAUCUCUACUUUCUAUCAUUCUUGUUCCUCCUUGUGGAGAUAAAUUGAGUUGAUACAUUGCAAGCAUUAACUUCCUCAAUUAUUUUUGAAUUUGUGCCAUUACACUCUUCAAUUCAACAAGCUCUACCAUAAUAACACUUAAAAGAAAAGAGAUAUCUAAUAUCAUUUAAAAUAAGUAAAAAAAAAAGAACUUAAAAAUAAAAAAAAAAUACUAAAAAAAAUAUCAAUUUAAACGAGGAUAAUUUACAACUUCUAAUAUGCUUAUGUCUUAUCUAGAAAAAAAAAUAAUCUAUUCUUAAUCAUGAAAAGACAAAGCUUUGAUAUUGUAAGUAUACUCUUGUCAAUUUAUUAAAGACAAGAAUUUGAUGAAAGCAAAUAAACAAGUGAAACUUGCUCAAAGAAGUAUAACAAAAUAAAAAUAAAGAAGUAUAUAUAUUGAAAAGAAAUUGAAAUUGCUAUUGCAAAAAAAUAAGAAAACUAGAGACUUCUUAAAACUAGACUAGAAGCAAGAAAAAAGUUGAUAAGAGUGAAAAAUGCUUCAUUUUUGCCUUUAAAUAUACUAUCUAUCUAGAAGCUAUGUGAUAACGUUCUAUAGGACCUCCAAAAUAUGUUAAUUUUGUACAACAUGUUGUAUUAUGUGUGUUCUUGCUUAAAAAUGAACCAAGCACCUACCUGUAAAAAGUAAGUAGAAAUGCAACAACAAUCCUAUCCAGUCUAAUAGAAUCUUAAAUAAACUUUAAAUAAGCUUUAAUAAUCUUAAUUUAAUUUUGACCACUCUAAAAUAAAUUUAAAAGUAGUUAUAAAAGAAACAUAAAGAAGUCUCAAAUUAAUCUCAAAGAAAAAUAAUAAUAAAUCUUAAAGAAAUAUAAAAAUAAAUCUUUCAAAAAAUAAAAAUAAUCUUAAAGAAAUAUUAGAAAUAGAAAUCUUAAAAAAGAAUCCUAAAGAAAUAUUAAAAAUAAAAGCCUUAAUUAAAUCUUGAUCAACUUUUAAGUCAAAUCUUAUUUAAAAUCUUAAUUGAAUCUUAACCAAAUCUUAGGUCAAAUUUUAAUAAAAUCCUAAUAAAAUCUUAAAUCCUAGAAAUUUUUUAGAUAAAUCCUAAUCAAUUUCUAAUCAAGUUCUAAACCAAAUUCCAUGCAAAUCUUAAUCCUAACUAAAUCCUACACCAAAUCCUAAAUCUUAUCCAAACCAUUGAUAAAUCCUAAACCAAAUCCUACAACAAAAUGGAACUUCAACAACUAAUAAUCAAAUUAUUAAUAUUAAUUCAAAAUUUGUAUUCUUUUUAAUAACUUAGUUGAGAACAAGCAUAAGAAGAAUGAAAUUGAUCACACAUACUAAUUGAAAAAAAUACAAGAUAAUCCAAUCGGAUAUUGAGAGAUCUCCUAUUCCAACUUGAAUGUUGAACUUCUAGCACCAAUAUUUCCUUCUUAAAUUAUUGAAUUGCUUUUAAAUCUCACCUAAACAUUGGAAAUUGAUUCUAGUAUUCACAAAAAAAUAUUUUUUUUAAUCCAAAUGAUAAAUUCUUAAAGAUCUUGAAAACACUCACUAACUCUCAAACUCAUUUUUCAAUCUAAUUAUUUGAUUGAUUUCAAAAUUUGCAUACACAUUUAUAACUAAUACACCAAUACACUAUCUGAGAUUCAUUUAUACAUAUACUACAAAACUUGAAAAAUCCUCAAAUUUAUGAAUAUGUUUUUUUUUUUUUUUUUUUUUUUAAAGUCUAAAUCAAUUAAAAAUAUUAUUAACUUUUGAAAAUACUUCAAAAACUAAAUAUUGAUUUAAUUGAUAUAACAGUAAUGCUUAAAAAUCUCUUCUCAAGUUUGAUCUCAAAUCUUACUCUUUGAUUUACCAAAAAAUACCAAAAUCACUGUAUGGAUAUAAUUUUAUGCCUCAAGGUCUAAUUUUGAUCCAAGUUGAUAACCGGUCCUUUUUGGAUAUCAAUUUUUAAUAAUUUGAAGUAAUUUUUACUUUAUUCUAUUAUUAAUUCAUUUUUAAACAUGCUUAUAUCAAUUUUUUACCUCAUUCAUUUUGAUUUGGCUCAUUUAUACUUCUACAGAGUAAAUAAAAGUCUCUUCUACAAAAAGGUAGUAUUAAGACUAAAUCUUUUACUACCUUUCUAUCAUUUAUCUUUAUUUUUCUAUUACAUCUCUCUCCUAGGAUCUUUUAUAAUAACAUCUAUAUUUUUAUUUUUCACUAUAUAGUUGUGUUACUACAUGGCUAUGUAUCUUAACUUAUAAGGCAAGUUUUUUAUAUGGACACCACAUAAUUUGCUUCUUCCACAAGCUACCAACAUGUGUGAUAUAUAAUUAACUUAUUAACUAAGUUUUCAAUCUAUCAAUCAACUAUAAAGACAUGUAACAUCAAAGCAACAUCUAUAAAGCUUUUAGAAAGCUUUUUUAGAAGAUAUUAUGAAAUUAAUUUACUUUAAUCUACUUCUAUCUAUUGAUAUCAUCUAGAUAAUAUUUACAUUAAAUAUAUACCCAUGACAAUAAGUAGAAUUGAAUUUCUUCAGUUUGACUUGGAUUAAUAUCUUUAUCACCUUUUUUCAUCAAACCUUCAUAUUUUUCUACUUGAAUUAUUUUUUCAACUUAUAUCUAUUCAAUUAUGAAUUAAGUUUUAAUUUUUUAUGUUAAUCCUUUAUAAUUAACUAAUCUUAAUAAAUUAUAAUUUUUAAAGAUCUUUUAUAUAAUUUUAUCUUCAACUUAGUUAUGAUUCGUGAUCUUAUUUUUCUUUUUUAAAAAAACAUCUUAAAAAAUGGAUGUGGCUUUGAUAAUACCACCUUUGUCCACUGUCUUAAUUAAGUCAUGUUUUAAAUUCAAUUGCUCCUUGAGCUAGUUAUAUGUUGUUGUGAUAUAACACAACUAAUAAGUGAAAAGAAUGAAGAAAUUAUUAUAUUAAAGAAGAUUUUACUUCAAAUAUUGUAGCAAAUUAUCUUAGAAAAUAGACAAUAGUCCAAGAGAAAGUAAAACUAAAGAUAUAAAUGCUAUCUUUUUACAAAGUAGGCUUCUAUUUACUUUGUAAGGCCAAAAAUAGAAUAAAAUAAGAUAGAUUAGAAAAAUAAAGUAUAUAAGCAUAUGUAAAAAAGAAUUGGGAGUUGAUUUUAAUAAAACUUAAAUAAAAAUAGUAAAAUUUAAUAUCCAAAGAGGACUAGUUAUUAAUAAUCAAAAUAUUGAACUUCUAGUACCAAUAUUUCUUUUUUAAACUAUUCAAUUAUUUUUAAAUUUCACAUUUAUAUAGUAAAUCGAGUCUUUUAUUCUCACACAUAAAUUUCACUCCAAUCCAAGUAGUACAUUGCUGAAGAUCUUAGAAAUCCUAAGUGACUUUUAAAGUCUAAUUUUUGAGACCUCAACCUAUUUGAAAUUCAAUAAUCUUCAAUUCAACUAUUUGAUCAAGUUCAAACUUACAAUAUACAUUUUAGACAACUAUUCAUAUAAGUUCUUAAAAUUUUAACUAUAGAUCUACUAUCAAACUUAUGAAAUUCUCCAAAACAUAAUAUCCUUUUUGUUUCACAAAUUUAAGAAUCAUCCAAAAGAAUUGUAACUUUGCAAAGCUCUUACAAAGUCAUUACAUACUUAAAUUACUAAAAAUAAUUGCUCAAAGUAAUUUUAUAAUUUUUUUCUCAAAUCUUGCUCUUUGAUUUGUAAAAGUACCCUUGAAGUUGUUAUAGGUGCCUAGUUUGUGCCUCGGGGUCUAAUUUCAAUCCAUGUUGAUAAUUAGUCUUCUUUGGAUAUUAAAUUUUAUUCUUUUGAGUUAAAUUUUCUUCUUACAUAUGCUUAUAUGCUUUAUUUUUCUAAUCUAUCUUAUUUUGCCUUAUUUAUGGCCUUACAAAGUAAAUGGAAGCUUAUUUUGUAAAAAAUUAAUAUUUAUACUUUUAGUUUUAUUUUCUUUUGGACUAUUGUCUAUUUUCUAAGAUAAUUUGCUAUAAUAUUUGAAGUAAGAUCUUCUUUAAUAUAAUAUUUUCUUCACUCUUUUCAUCAAUUAAUCAUGUUAUAUCUUAACAUCUAUCCCUCCUAAAGUUGUGCAUGCUUUGACAUGCACCAAUAAUUCUUUAAUAUAUUGAUAUAGAGUAUUCUUUGCCUUGAUUAGAUUUUCAAUCUUCAAUCUUCUCUUCUUCUCCCAUCUCAAUAUCUUACAAUAGAUUUUGUUCUUCAUCAAAACUAAUUUUUAUACUUUUUUGUUUAAAUAACUUGAUUUUCUUCCUUGCUAUAGGUAUCUUUAAUUUUAUACCAUCAAAUUUUCAUAAUAAGUAUGUUCUAUUGUCAUAUAUUUGUUUGAUAAUAUAAGGUCCAAACCAUCUCUUUGCAAAUUUCUUUGCCAAGCUAUAUUGGUUGUCCAAACUACUAUCAUAAACUAAUAUCCAAUCACCAUUUUGAAUUAAUUUUGGAUGCAAUUGAUGCUUUUUGUCAAACCUCUCUUUGUUUUUCUCCUUUGUUUCUUUUAACUUUCUUAUAGCUACUUCAAUGUCCUUGGAUCUUCUUUCAAGCUGUCAAAUUCAUAAUGCUAUUAAUUCUUCUCUUGUUAAACUAUCUUCUCAAGAUAAUAUAUUCCAUGUUGGUACAACCUCUUCUAUUGGCAUCAUUGGUUUUUGUUCAUACAUCAAUUUUGCUAGCAUAUAUCCUAUAACUAUACUAAAAGUUGUGCAAUCUAUCUAUAAUGCAAAUAGUAAUACCUUACGCCAAUCACCUAUCUUACCUUUAUAUGCAUUAAUCAAUACUUUAAUAAUUAAAAAGUACCUACAUUCACUCUUGUUAUUUCUUUCUGGAUUAUAAGCAAUUAUUAAUACAAGUCUAAUACCUAUCCUCCUAAAGAACUCUCAUGCUUCAUUUGCAUUUAAUUUUCCUCUAAUAGUACUGAUUUUUCUAAUACAACUAUAUUGGCAAAUAAUUUCUUCUAAUAUAAACUCACAUAUUCCUUCCAUAAUCUUUGUUUAAAGCAUUCUUCCCUCUACUUCAUUUGUCAAAUUCUCUCAAGUAAGUAUCAAAUAUUUCUUGUGUCCAAAUCCAAUUAAUAUUGCAACUAAAUCAACCAUCUAUUUGUAGUCAAUUGCUAAUGGGUAUAUUGAGUGCAAUCUAUCUUGAUGACAAAUGUUUGAAUAUAUUUGACAAAUUUUACAAGAUUCUAAAAAAUCUGCCACAUCUUUUUAUAUGUCUUUCUACCAAUAUUUUUCUUUUACCUUUAUAGACAUUGUUCAAAUGCCUCAAUGUCUAAUCCACUAACUUUGAUGAAAUUCUUUAAUGAUAUUUUGUUGAGUGCCAUAGUCACAUACAACUUUUUGUGGCACUCAAUCCCUUUACUUUGGAUGCUUCCAUAUAAAUCCAUCUUGAAAAAAAUAUCCAUAGGCCUUUUUUUGAAUUCUUUUAAACUCAUAAUUUGUCGAAUUUUCUUACUCUUUUAAUGCACUUAAGUAUUUCCUUAUAUACAACUAUUUACCAUCAUAUAACUCUUCUGAGAAUAAUUCAAGUGGUGUAGUUAAAUGCAACCCAUCUCUUCUUGUCCACAAAGUCAAAUAAAAGUUCAUAUUGAUAUUUUUUUCAUUAUAAACUAUAUCAUCUUCAUCAUCAUACUGUGCUCUUAACAAUAUAUUUGCAACCACAUUGUCUUUUUUAAAAAUAUACUUGAAUUUUAGAUUCAUAGACUUUAUAUAUACAAUCCAUCUUAGUAUUGCUAUAUCUUGUAUAAAAAAACUAGUAAUCAUGCUUAAUAAGGAUAAAUAAUCUGUUUCUAUAACUAUUGAUGUAUCAAUCAAGUACUCUUUUUCAUUUUUCAUAGCCAUUACUAUAUUCCAUAAUUAUCUUUUAACUUUGUGUAGAUGCCUUCUACCUAGUAUUCAAAACCUUUGUCCCAAAUAUUACUACCUAUCUAUUUUUUUGUUUAUUAUCAUGUCCAACUGUCCAACCUAUUCUAAUUGGAUUCGCAUCAAUUAUUAUCAUCACUGAUCUUCCACAUUCAUAAUUUACUUUCUUCAAAGUUGGAGGUAAAAAAAGAAAUUCUUUCAAUUUUUUCAUAGUUUUUUUUUUUUUUUUUUUUUUUUUUUUCCUUUCCUUUCCAAAUAAAAUUUCUAAUUCUUUAGUAAUAACUUAUACAAUAGAUCUGCUACAUAUACAAAAUGAAGUAUCCAUAUAUGAUAGAAAAUACAUGUUCCUAUAAAUCUUUGAACUUCUAUUGUAUUUACACAUUCUUUCAUCUUUUUAAUAAUAUCAACAUUUUUCAUACUUAGCUUACGUCCAUAUGAUCUACACAUGUGUCCUACCACCAAAACUUCUUUUAUUCCAAACAUUGAUUUUGUCUCUAAUAAGAUUAAAUGAACUUCUUCUAAUCUUACCAAAAUCUUCUCACAAUCAUUAAUAUGAUUUGCCACAAACUUCUUACAUCCCUUAGCAUCCAAUAUCUCAUCUUUUCUUUCUUCUUUACAUCCUUUAAUUGGCACAUCAUUUAAAAAAAGGCAUUGUCAUACUUCAAAUAAAUUCUCUUAAUACCUUAUGCAUUCCAUUCAUCAUGUUUUUCACAAAAUUUAUAGCCCCUUGUAGUAAUGUAUACAUUUUGAUCAAUCCUAAUAGUGUCUCCAUAGUUGUCAAAUCUUUAUUUUUUAUUACUAAUUAAAAUUGAUCAUAUCCUAAAUAAAGAUUACAUAUAGAAUAAAUUACUUUUCUUACAAAUGUCUUUACAAAUCCAUCUAAUAUUGGAUUAAAAUCCAUAUUUCUAAUAGUUACUUUAUUUAUCAAUUGCAUAUCUUGAAUAAACCUCAAUGUUCCAUUUUUCUAAGGUACUAUGAACCACUCAUUAAAAUAUGUUACAAUAGAUAGUUCUAAAAUUCCCAUCUUAAACUUUUCAUUGAGUAAUUCAAUAAGCUUAGAUAAAUAAGUCUUUGAAAUUGGAAUUGGCCUUAAAUUCCAUGGAUCAUGUGGAAUCGUGAAAAUAACCUUAGAUGCCACCAUAUUUGGAUCUACACAUCUUAUUUUAUUUUGUUCAAAUACAAAUGCCUUGCUGUAUCAAAAAAUCAUCUUUUUGAAACAUCUUUCUUCAUCUUUUGUCAAAAAGUCCUCACAUCCAAACUUCAAUCCAUUUAAUGUCAAAUUAUCUUUAAAUUCAUGCCCUAUUUUCUUUGGAUCUCUCAAAUUGAGUUGCAUAGAAGCCCUUUCAAUCAUUUUCUCACAAUCCAAUGGUAGUUGCAAUGCCACUAAUUUAACCUUCUUGAAAACAAUCUUGUACUUAAUUUCUACCUUUACAUCAUAUCUAUCAACAUAUUCUUUCACCUUAUUAUAAAUUUCUUUAGAUUGCAUAUUUGCUACCUUAUCAUUACCUUCAAAAUCCAAAUCCAAUAAUACUUGCAAUUCAUCCAUGUUAUCAUCAAAGCCACUUUUUAACAUUCUCAAUAUGCAUUCAUCUUCAUCAAGCACUCCAAAUUUCUUCAAUUCAUAUUGUAUAUUUUUGAAGUUUUUCUUCUCUAUUCUUUUAUAAUUAUUUAUAUUUUUUAAUGGAAUAUAUCUAUUCCAUGAUAAUGCAACAAUGGCUUCAUCUCUUUUAAUAAGUGGGAAGCCAUCACCUCUUUUACCAUUGCAACCUCACUUUUCAAUGGCAUGUGGUGAAAAUCCCUCACAUCCUCAUUUCUAAAUUCUCUAGUAACCUUUGACAAAGGUUGCUCUCUCAAACUCCUACGAUUUCUCUCAUGAUUAGCUUAUACCAUCAAAAAUUAUAUCAUUCCUAGUCCAUCUUGAUUCCUAAUUUAAACAUAUACUAAUCCAUUAUUCAUAAUUUUUGUUUCAAUGUGAAAAGCUGUAAUAUAGGAUUGUCUUAGAAUAAUAGGAUAAGUAGACAUAUCUUGUACAAAGAAGUUUUGUUCAUCAUUAACAUCUCCUAUUGUAACCUUCAUAUUUGGACAUGCCUGAUAUAAUUCUCUUUGUGAAUUAUUUGCUAUUCAAAUCAUCCAACCAUUCUUGAUAUUAAUAGGCUAAUUUUUUCUUUCAUAUAGCUCUUUUGACAUCAAAUUGAUUUCUUAACGAUAAUCAAUUAAUGCCACAAUAGGUUCCUCAAAAUUUUUCAACUUCACCAUUAUCUCUGUUGUUUCUCUUGCUUAAUAACUACAAGAAUAAUGAUUCAAAGUUUGGAUUUCUUCUUCUUCUUCUUCUUCUUCUUCCAUAAUCCUUAUAUGUGAAACAUCUCCAUAUGCAUAAUUAUUGUCCUCUUCAUCUAUCAUCAUUCUUGUCCUAUGUGCAUUUGAAGCCAUAUUUUCAUCCAAAAUUUACCGUUUCUUUUAAAUAAUAUCCAUAAUGACAUCAUAGAAUUUUUUCUUUGCUAUUUCAAGAACUUCUUUCAAUGUAAAUUCUACCUUGUUAUUUAAAAUAUGGUCUUCUAAAAUCUUCUUCAAAACCAUUGUUGUCUCAAUAUGUGAUUACAAUUUAUAAGUAAGUGCCUUUAUUUUUUUUAUUUUUUUACGAUUCUCUUUUCUUUUAUAGAAAUAUUUUUUGUUAUUUUUUCAUGUAGAGGAUUCUUUUGUUGUCAUAUUUUCUCUCUUCUUGUAGUUCUUUUUGAUGGUCCUUCAUUAUUUUCAUCUCUCUUUUGUUUUUUGUUUUUUUUAUUAAUACUUUAGAUUGACUCAUUGCAACAUAUACAUGUAUAGAUAGAUUAUCAAUCAAAUCAUUCCAAUCCAUGAUUUUUAAAAAUGACUUAUCCACAUUAACUAAUAUAUUUCUAGCAACCUUCUCAUUUGUCAUACACUUUAUUGCACUUAGCUACAAUAAACUUAUAUAAUCCAGUACUUGAAUGCUUAUGCCCACACAAUCUCGAAUAAGUCCAAUUCUAUAUAACUUUGCUUCUAUUGCAUGAACCAUUAAUGCUUUCAUAUCUCCUUUUCCAAAGUUUCUUUCCAAUUUUUCUCCACUUUCUUUUAGGUGUAUCAUAUCAACUUUGAAAAAAACAAUCCCUUUAUAUAGUGCAUCUAUAAAAUCUUCACAUUCUCUUCUUAAAUGAUCUAUAUUAUUAUACUACAUGCACCUAUUGUCAAGGACAAAAAUAUGAUAAAAAUAAAUAAACAAGUGAGACUUCUCUCAAAGAAGAUGAAAAAAUAGAAAUAACUUGAUAUGUAUAUUAAGAAAGAAACUAAAAUUGCUAUUGCCAAAAGCCAAGAAAACUAGAGACCCUUGAAACUAGACUGGAAGCAAGAAAGGAAUUGACAAGAGUGAAGAAAGCUUCAAUCUUGUUUCUAUAUAUACUAUCUAACUAAGAACUACAUGGAAAUAUUUUAUAGGACCUCCAAUAUGUGUUGACUUUGUAGGAUACAUGCCUUAACUUACAAGGUAAGUUUUUCUACGUAUAGGCCACAUAGUUAGCUUGGUCUUCAAGCUAACAACAUGUGUGGUACAUGGCCAACUUGUUGACCACAUUUCUAAUCCAAAAAAUCAAUUAAAGACACCUAUAAAGUCAAAGCAGUGUCUAUGAAACUUUUAGGAAGCUUCAAUAGCAAAUAUUAUAGAAUUAACUUACUUUUACCUAUUUUUACUUACUUCUACCUAUUUAUAUAUGUAAUUAUUAGCUUACAUGCAUAUAUCCGUGACAUUACUUCUCCUUUUAGGGACGAGUUCUAUGAAGAGCGAUCAUCAUAUGUUGAAGAAAUCUAUGAUGUGACGAAUUGUAUUCACCACAUACUUUGAUCUUCAUUCUCUUCAAAGAUGAUUGAUAGGACCUCUCAACCAUCAAUAGUGUCCCAUACCAGGGCGAGAAGACCACCUAGUUAUUUGAUCGUUGUUGAGGCCUUCAUAACUUCCUUUGAAUAAAAUAUUUGAAACACCUUCAGGAGUUGUUUCUACCUCUAGUAAAAUCACCAAACAUUGGAAGUCCCUUCCAAAGUCGUGAUACCAUAUGCAUUGUAUCUUGCAAUCUAUUUGUGGAAGAAUAUGUCGUUCUUGAAGAUCUUCAUCUCAAUUACAUUGUCUUAAAGGUUAUGACAAUCGUAAUGUUUUGUCCGGUAGCUCAGCAAACGAAGGCUCUUGAGUCAAAUCCACUAGUUGUUGGUUCUCCAUCUUCUCAGCGUCACAACUACAAAGAAGCUACAAACAAGGAUUGAAAGUAGAAUGUUAUCUUACUUAAAUCUUGUUUCUUUUAUAAGGAAGGUUUUUAUCUUGAUUUUGAUAGAUGUCGCCAAUGAAAAGCCUCGACCGCCUUUGCUACAUUUGCAAGAUUCUUUACUGGCUCCCAUAUGUCUUCACUAAUAUCAUAUCAGUAGUUGAAGUAGAGAGAGUUUGCCACAAGAAAGUGCUAAGCUUUUGGCUGCCACUAAAUAUUCAAUCAAGUCUAAGAUAUAAAAAUACCAAGUUAUAUAUAUAAUAUUUUUCUUUUUCAGACAAUUACAUCAAAAUACAAGCCCAAGUACCAAAAAAACAUCCAAAUGCAUGAUAAAGAUCUUAAAACCUUAUAUAUCCUUCUGAGAGAUGUUUUCCAAAAUUCAACAGCUCAUAUCUCACGAUUGAACUAUCCAAACAAUCCUAAAUUUUACAUAAAGUAUUAAUAUACUUUCAAAAACUUCCACAAAAAAAUCCAAUUGUAAAUUCAAUAUGGAUCUUGAGAUAUUGUCAAAACCCUAACAGUAGCUUUAAAUCCUAGCUUACAUAUACCUAUGUGCUAAUUUCUUCAUAUCUCACAAAAUAAGUACUCAAAUAAUAUGAAACUUUGAUUUAUAGCUUUUCAACAUAAUAAUUCAUAUUUUUGGAAAGUUUGAACUAAAAAUUCAUCCAGAAAUUCAAGAUAUAGCUCCAACCAUUACUAUCAACAAAAUGACUCACUUACUGCCUUUGAAUUACAAAUGUUGUCUUCAAAUGUCUAUAACUUCUUUAUCUAGACUUGAAAUUUAUCAAACAAUAUAUGUAAAGUAUUGCCAAGAAAGUUUCCUCUCCAAUUCUAGUCGCCGAUCUUUCAUUGCUCUUUGUAUGCAUAUGUUAUGCUUCAAAGAGUGAUAGUAGGUACAAAUUUAACACCUUAACUUUGAACAUCUAUAUCUCCUUCAUAAAAACUCAAAAUCACACAAACUCUUUACCCAAAUUAUACAAAAACACCCUGAACUUGCUGACCCUAGCCUUGAAAGCUCAAAUGACUUUGAAAGAGAAACCCUAAUCCUUAAUAAAGCCUCGAAGAGCCUCCUUGAAGCCCAUUGGACAUGGCCUUCGACCAAUAGGAAUGAAGAUCUCCAUUCUUUGUCUUCAUUCAACCAUGCUUUGCUUUCAUCCCUUCCAAUAAGCCUCCUAUUAGUUAAGAUUUUUUUCUUUAGGCUCUAAUCUCCUCUCAAGGCUUUAUACUAAAUAUUUAGGUCUUACGAAUUUUUUUAAUUCUAUAAUAAAAAAAGAUAAAAUUCAAAAUAAAGUUUCUUAAAUCUACUCUCUUUAAAUUAAUCUAUUAAUCAUUCUAACAUAUAUCUAGAUUUAUUAAUAUAUAGUAUAUUUUAACUAAUUUUUACACAUUGUAAGCUUUCACAAUACGACACCGCUGUCGUGUUGUAAUACGAGUGUACCAUGAAAAUAUAAAGAAAGGGGACUUUUAUUAAUAUUCAGUUACCUCAAAUAUUGUGAGCAAUGAUCGAUUCUAGUGCCAAUAUUCAGGGGCCAGUUCAGACAUCCCAUCACAGUCGGUCAGGGCAUACUUACUAGUAACAAAAUGCUCCAUUCGAAGCCAAUAGUGGGAGUCAAUAGAAUCGAAAGGACUAAAUUGAUGACUGAGUGAGCUUGACGUGAAGGACCAAUUUGACCCAAUUACGAAAACAUCUAGGUCUUACUACGGGCCUCUUAGCCAAUAUGAGACCUGAUUUAGUCGGGCGACUCAAUGUGGUCCUAAUUACGGGGGUUUUGAUUCCGUUUCAGGCUGUCUUGUUCUUUGUGCCGUUUUAGGGAACGUUGUUUCCAAAAAAAGAACCUUUUAAAAGGCAAAAAAUAGAGGAGAAAGCUCUGACGAUGGAAGCCAAUUCCGGAUCCAAGAUGGAAGAUUGAAGAAAUUCAGAGGCUAGGGUUUGAGAGGGGGAGAAUUAGGAUUCUAAGAGUGAACAGCUAACUUCAUGCUUCGAAAGAAAAAAGACAGAGAAUUGGGAUUUUUUUUUUUUCUUCUUCAUAGGGUUUUGGGAAGACUGAGGCAAUCGUUGCUGAAAGUCAGUGUUGUACUGGUGAAUCGGGGUUUUAAUGAAGUGGGUGUGAUUACUCUUGAUUAUUGUGUGAAAUCAAAGUUACGACUAUAAUUGAAGAAUUAAAAGAGAGUCUAUAGGAUUGAGUAUGCGGAGUGAAUGAAAUUUAUUGGGUUAAUCUAAUGAGACAAUUAGUGGAUACAAGGUCGUGAGUAUAAAGCGGUAUCGAAGAUUAGCAGUUUGAAUUGUUCGAGGUUCUCUGUAACGUCAAGAGACCUACCAGCCGAGGCAAAAAGGAUUUCGGCGAGUAGUCAAAGGGCAUCCAUAUAGAUUUACGGUAUGUUCUUGUAGUUGUUUAUAUUCCAAUAGUCAAAAACCCAUAGACUGCUUGAAUACUAGUAAAACACCAUACUACCUCCUAUAGCCACACGCUCGGUACAUUCUCAAGCAAGAUAGCACGUAAUAUGACAUAAGUGGUGAACUCAAUGUAAAAGCUUGAGAUAGAAGGUAUUGGAUUUCGUUUGAUUUUAUUUUUAUUUUUACGGAGAACAAAAAUAAAAAAUUUGAAGGAUCUUUGGAAGGAGUUUCUGGUAGGGGUUCUUUUAAAGGACAAGGUAUGCACAUGGAUCCGUCUAUUGCUAGUAUGUUUCAAGCCUUCUCAUUAUCAAUGUAGCAACAGCAAAGCAAUGAUCGAAAAGAAGCUUUGGCAACCAAAGCAUUGCAAGCAAUGGUCAAUAAAAUUGAUCAAUUUGAUGGAAGGAAUAUUUCAAGGUAUUUAAGAUGUUAUGUUCAUGAAAUGGAAUUAAAUCGGGUUUUUGAGAAGAAAAUGGUUGAAUUAUUUGGACUUGCCAUGAUACCGGAGAUAAGAGACCAUAUUACAUCGAUUACGGAUCAUUAUGGGAAUUCAUGGGAGGUUUUUUCACAUGCAUUGAAAGACAAAUAUUUCUUGGAAGAUGCUGAUCGCAUUAUUAAGAAGCUGUUUCUUGAAUGGAUUGAACGACCUAAUAAGAAUUUGGAAGCAACAGAGCUACUAAGGGAAUUUGAGAGGCAAUACUCUCAAUUAUCGAAGGUAGAAAAAUUGACAUUGGAGCCGAACAAAGUUGAUCUAUUUCUUCAAGCUGCUGAUCAAGAAUUGUAAGAAAAAUUGGAACUCCUUCUUGAAGACAAAGAGGAAGAUGAAGGAUUGACAAUAAAGUGGAAGAAUGUUGAAGAUGCGGUGGGGUUGCUUGCAAAAAGAGAAAAGAGGAAGGAUAGGAGAAAUAUUCCAAAAACAGUACAAGCACCCAAAGCUCCAGUACGUACAACACCACCAACAAUGCCUAUAGUUCAACCUUCGACAUCCUUAUCAAAGAAAGCAGAUAUGGAGAUGGAAGAAAUUACACGAGAAAUACGAGAUCUUCAAAUCAAAUUGGCAAGACUUGAAGAGAAUACUUUUACAAAUAAUUUGAAGAAUGUUUCGAAACAAGAAUAUGUACAAAGAUGCAUUUAGUGUGAUAAUGCUUCACACACUAGAAAAGAUUGCAAUGAAUUUAAUAAUAUGAUAUGGCAAGGAAUUAUUUGCUGGAAAGAUGGAAAGAUAGCAUUAAAAGAUAGGAAGGAUCUUCUUCAAACCAAUUUUGGCAAGGGAGGAAUGAGAGCAUUGGUUCAAGAUUACUUAAAAGAGCAUGAAACAGCAAAACGAGAAAGUGCAAGUUAUGGUGCUAGAGUAGAUGAUGACCUUGGUGGAAGAACGGAAACUAGUGAGUUUUGGGCUUCUUCCAUUUCUACAAUGUAAGAAGGGAAAUUACCUCGAGAAGCAUUAUUGUGGACUGCAGCUACAAUACGAGGUGCAAUAGGUUGGGAGGAUCCUGUUGAGUCUCUUUCAAUUCAUGCAUAUAUUGCUAAGAGCCAACAUAAAGCUUUGAUGGAAGAAAAGAGACGAGGAAAUUUUGAUGAUACGAGAGAAGGAAAUUCUUCUAAGAAGCAAACUCGAGGAGACAAGGCUCGGGAGGCAACUUCACAAGAAUUGCCUGUAAAAGAUACCUCAGCAUCAUUGGAAGAAAAAACAAGGGAGACAAAAGAUAAGGGAAAAUCAAUUGCUUAUAAGCUACUUUCUGACAUUGAAGCGGCAACAAAUUUGAAAGGGGUGUUGGAAGAACGUAUAUUAAAUGCUAAGGUGGAAUUCACAUUGAAAGAAGUCUUGGGAAUUGCAAAGAAGGAGUUUCAUGAUGUUAUCAUUGAUAGUAUUAAUCGAAAGAGGCAAUUAAUGGGUGAAACUGGAAUGAGUCAUGCUAUUGAUACAAGAAUAUAUAAAGAUGAAGAAGAGGUUGAUAUUGGUUACAAGCAACCAACAAAUGAAAAGAAUGGAUAUAAUCAACGAGUACGUUUCGAAGAUUAUAGUGAUAAGAAAAUGGAAACUUUGAGCCAUUAUACUCGAAAGCAUUGGACAAGGGCAACUACUGAGGUAUUAGUGAAAGUAGGAGAUAUAGAAGAACCAAUUGUUGCUUUAGUCGACCAUGGUUCUGAAAUAAAUCUCAUGUCUAAAGAUCUUUAUAAGAAGCAAAAAUGGCCAAUUAAUAUGGAACAUGGAUGGACAAUACGAGCAGCUAAUAACACAUGGGGCGAAUUAUAUGGAACUUGUCCAGAUGUCAAAAUUUGGAUUGGAGAUGUUGCGAUGGAGCAACAUUUCUUUGUUCAAGAUACAAUGUCUUAUCCAUUGAUUUUAGGACAACCUUAUAUUACGGCAACACGGAUGGAAACAAAAGUACUUGACGAUGGUUCUGCUUAUGCAAGGGUAUGUAGCAAAGAUGGGAGGAAAGUUGUACAAUUUCUAAUUGUACCUCUUAACCAUGAACAGAAUCGAGAUAGAUUGAGAGAGAAACCAUUGCCAAAGAUUGUUGAAGGAUUUAAGGAUUUUGGAGAGGUACUACUGUAAAGCGAGAUUAUGGAGGUACAAAAGAGGAGGUACUCUCAUGAGAUGAAGGUACCUUUGAUGCGAGUUUUAUUGGUAUUUUGGAGAAUGGAAAUAUUAUGUAUAAGAAAGUUAAUGAUUUUAAAAGGAAAGAAAGAAAAAGAUUAUAUAAAAUUGAAGGAGAAUUACGCAAGUUAGGUACAUUGCAAGAUGAUGAGAGGAUUUUAGGUGUUUAUGAAGAAAAUGGACUGGAAGAUUCAUUGGAAUUGAUUACAUCUAUUGGGUUAGGGGAUAAUGAUAAGAUUGUUGAGAUUCAUUCAAGAGAGGUUUAUACCAUACUUGAAUCUUUUCAAGCACCAGAAGUCACUGUAGAGACGAGAUAUAAAAUGGCAGAUAAGAAGGUAAAGCCUGUUGUCGGACCAUUACUAGAAGAUUCUAAAGAACAAACGGGAGAAGCAUCAAAAGAAGCAAGUUUAAGAGAUCCAAUGAGUAUUGGACAUCAGUUUACUAAAGAGGCUUUUGAAGAAUUGAAGAUUGGUUCUGAUGGUUCUUUAUUGCCAGAGGAAAUUACUUGCUUCAAAAAGAUGUUGGCUAAACAAGGUAGAUCGUUUGCCUUCGAAUCUCAUGAAAUUGGGUGUGUGGAUCCAAAUAUUAUAACACCUAUAGUUAUCUUCAUUGUACUGCAUGUACUUUAGAAUCUAAGACCGAUUCCAGUACCGAGGGCACAUUUACCUAAAUUAGUGGAACUAUUAAAAGAAAAGAUGAAGGUAAAAAUAUUGGAACCGUCAUUUGCACCGUAUUCUAGUCGAUGGUUUACGGUACCUAAGAAGAAUGGAUCACUACGGUUUAUUCAAGAUAUGCAACCGGUGAAUGCAGUAAUUGUCAGGAAUGCAGAAAUUGGACCUAUUGUAGAUGAAUUUGCUGAGGCGUUUGUUGGAAGGGUGAUCUAUUCAAUGGGUGACUUGUAUUCAGGUUAUGAUCAAUUUCAACUUGCCGAAGGAAGUAGAGAUAUGACGACAAUGAGGACACCACUUGAAUUGGUUAGAAUGUGCACUCUUCCUCAAGGCGCGACCAACUCAGUUGCGCAUAUGAUGAAUGGGAUGAAUAAGUUAUUGAGAGAUUUUAUUCCGGAGAAGACUAUGCCUUUUCUGGAUGAUGUUCCUAUAAAAGGGUAGAGAGAAGGAGACAAGGAUGAAACUUUAGAUAAGAGGGGGUGUCGCAAAUAUGUUGUUGAUCAUAUACAAGAUUGUGAAAAGAUUUUAACUCGGCUUGGAGAAGUUCAUCUUACAUUAUCGGGUAUGAAGUCCGUAUUUGGAGUACGAGAGGUUGUGAUUGUUGGACAUUUAUGUGGAUCUUACGGAAGAAAACCAGAUCCGACUAAAGUUGAUGCAAUUGGAAGGAUGAAAGAGGAUUGUGAUUCUUUAACAGAGGUUUGCAGGUUUUUAGGUGCAUGUGUAUUUUAUCGAAUCUGGAUCCCUCGUUUUGCUCACAUAGCGGACCCAUUAUAUGAACUGUUAUGCAAGGGCUACUGUUUUAAAUGGAAAGAAAGGCAUAUUCAGGCAAUGCAAAGAUUGAAGAAAUUAUUGAUGUCACCUCCAAUAUUGAGGAAGGUUGAUUAUAAGUGCAAUAGACUAGUGAUUCUUACUGUGGACGCUAGUCCAAUUGCCAUUGGAUGGACUGUGGGUCAAGAUGAUUCAAGUGGGAAUAGAUUUGCAGUUCGAUUUGGAGCUAAAGUUUUAAGUAUUCGUCAGCGUGUAUACUCGCAAGUCAAAAGAAAACUUUGGGGAGUUGUUUCGGCUAUGAAAGCUGAAAAGGAAUAUUUGAUUGGGGCAGUAGUAGUAAUUGAAAUAGAUUGCUUGCCAUUGCUUGGAAUGAUUACUAACUGUUCAAUGCCAGAUAUUGUAAUGUUGAGAUGGAUUGCUUAUAUUAAGUCACUAAAUUUAGAAUUUAAGCAUGUUACUGGGAAGGACAAUUUAGUAGUAGACAUGCUAUCUCGAGCAAGAUAUGAGAGGGAGGACAAAAUGGUUGAAGACAUUGAUGACGUCGGAUUGAAAUUCUAUUCAAUAUCAAAUCUCAACAGAGAAGAUAAGCUAUUUCUUGAAGAAUCUUAUGAAGGAGAAUUAUUGGAUAUUGGUCAUUACUUGAAUACCUUGACUAAGCAGGGAAAUUGGUCUACAAAAAAAUUCAAACAAAUAAGAAAAAAAUCAUAUGGAUUUUUGCUUCGAGAUGGAUUCUUAUGGAAGAGACCAAAGAAAGGAAUUGGAAUACUACAACGAGUGAUAGGCAAAAAGGAAGAAAAACUAAAAUUAUUAAAGAAGUUCCAUGAUAGUUUAUGGGCAAGGCAUAGAGGAAUCUGGGCUACUUUUGCUAAACUCAAGGAACGAUAUUGGUCAAAAAAUAUGUAUCGAGAUGUGCUUUUAUUUGUAGAGUCAUGUGAAAUCUGUCAAUUGUAUUCUAAUAUCCGACAUCGAGAUGGUCUUCAUCCUACGUAUCCUCUGGCUAUUCAUUUUAAAUGGGUUGUUGAUUUGGUUAUCAUGCCAGUUGGGUUAUGGCAGAUGAGAUAUUUAGUUUUAGUUCGUGAAGAUUUAUCAAAUCAAGUAGAAGGAAGAGCAUUGAGGACAAAAUCUAUAGAGGGAAUUUGUAGGUUUUUUCUUGAAGAUGUCAUUUGCCGCUACGGAUGCGUAGGAAAAAUCACUGCAGAUCAUGGAGAACUAAAUGCACAAGAAGCUCGUAAGUUCUUUGAAAGAUAUGGAGUUAAACUAUCACUGACUACUACUUAUAAUCCAGAAGGGAAUGCAAAAAGCGAACGUGGUCACCCAUCGAUUGUGAAAGCAUUAGUUAAAGUUUGUAAUGGAAAAGUUAGAGAGUAGCCACGGCUUUUGUCAUUUGCAUUAUGGGCUGAUCGAACAACACAUAGUUCGGUGACAUGAUAUAUGCCAGUAGAACUUAUGACAGGUUGAAAACCAAUUAUGCCGAUUGAAGAAAGGGUACUUAUUUGGAGGAUGCUACCAUGGGAAGAUGGAUUGACAAGAGAAGAACUUUUGACUAUUAGGAUUCGACAAUUGGAGCAAAGAGCGAAAGAUGUGCAAAUAGCAUUGGAAAGGUUAAAAAGAGCAAGGUUAUAAAUCAAGGUGCGAUUUGAUAAGCAACAUCGAUUGAGACCUAAAGCAAUCGAGGAAGGUGACUGGGUACUUGUUUAUGAUAAUAGUCUGGAUAAUCAACAUAGUACUUUGCGAAAAUUUUUAAAACGUUGGUUUGGACUAUAUGUAGUAACAACUGUUCAUGAUAAUGCGACUUACUUAUUAGGGGAAUUAGAUGGUACAAAAUUGAAAAUACCAAUUACACAAAAGGAAGUAAAAAUAUUUAAACGAAGAUGGGCAGAGGUGAAUAUGGAAGACCUUAAUGAAGGUAUAGAGAUUUCGCAGCAAGAGAUUGAAAGUGAUUUGGAUAAUGAAGGUGACGAAGACGAACUGGACAAAGACGUAGAGAAUAUAUUCUUAAUCAAACAACAAUUGGGAAAAUUAGUGCAUACCAGAUGAUGUACAGGUUUAGAGGGGGUGGAUGUCGUAUUGUAAUACGAGUAUUCCGUGAAAAUAGAAAGAAAGAGGACUUUUAUUAAUGUUGAGUUACCUCGAAUAUUGGGAGCAGCGACCAAUUCUAGUGUAAAUAUUGAGAGGCCAGGGUCAGUUACCGCGUAACAGUUAGUCGGAGCAUACUGAAAUACUCCAUUCGAUUCCAAUAACGGGAGUCAGCAGAAAAGGGAAGGACCAAUUCACACGACGAGUGAGCCUGAUUGGAAGAGCCAAUUGGAUCGAAUUUCAAGACAUCCAAUCCAGGUCCUCUUAUCCAAUAUGAGACCUGACUUGGUCACGCAACCCAAUGCGGUCUAACUAUGAAAACAUCCAGGUUUUACUAUGGACAUCUUAGCCAAUAUAAGACCUGAAUUGGUCGAGCGACUCAAGGUGGUCCUAAUUACGAAGGUUUCGAUUCCGUUUCAGGCUGUUCCAUCUUUUGUGCCAUUCCGAGAACGUCCUUUCGGUAAAAGGAUCUCUUAAAGGUAAAAACAGGGAAGAAGCUCUGACGGCGGAGCCAUGUCUGAAUCCAAAACGGAAGAUUGAAGAAAUUUCGAGACUAAGGUUUGAAAGAUGGGAGAAUAAGGAUUAAAGGGGAGGAUAGGUUAAGAAAUGAGGGGGGAGAAUAGGGUUUUUUGAGAAGGAUCAGGGAGGGAGCUUCAUGCUACGGGACGGAGAAAAUAGAGAGAGAAUUGGUUUUCUUUCUUCAUAGGAUUUUGGGAAGACUUAGGCAAUCGUUGCUGAAGUCAGUGUUGUAUUGGUGAAUCGGGAUUUUAAUGAAGUGGGUAUGAUUACUCUUGACUGUUUUGUGAAAUCGAGUUACGUUUGUGAUGAAGAAUUAAAAGGGUGUCUAUAGGAUUGAGUAUGCGAAGUGAAUGAAAUUUAUUGGAUUAAUCUAACAAGACAGUCAGUGGAUACAAGAUCGUGAGUAUAAGCGUUAUGAAAGAUUAGUAGUUCGGGUUAUUCGGGUUCUAUGUAACGUCAAGAGACCUACCAGCUAGGGCAAAAAGGAUUUCGGCAAGUAGUCAAAGGACAUCCGUAUAGAUUUACGGUAUAUUCUUGUAGUUGUUUAUAUUCCAAUAGUCAAAAACUGAUAGACAGCUUGAAUAUUAGCGAAUCUCCAUACUACCUUCUAUACCUAGACGUCCGGUGCGUUCUUGAGUAGGAAAGCACGUAAUAUGACACCAUAAUGAAUAAGUCGCAUUAUCAUGAACAGUUGUUACUACAUAUAGUCCAAACCAACGUUUUAAAAAUUUCCGCAAAGUACUAUGUUGAUUAUCCAGACUAUUAUCAUAAACAAGUACCCAGUCACCUUCCUCGAUUGCUUUAGGUCUCAAUCGAUGUUGCUUAUCAAAUCGCACCUUGAUUUAUAACCUUGCUCUUUUUAACCUUUCCAAUGCUAUUUGCACAUCUUUCGCUCUUUGCUCCAAUUGUCGAAUCCUAAUAGUCAAAAGUUCUUCUCUUGUCAAUCCAUCUUCCCAUGGUAGCAUCCUCCAAAUAAGUACCCUUUCUUCAAUCGGCAUAAUUGGUUUUCAACCUGUCAUAAGUUCUACUGGCAUAUAUCAUGUCACCGAACUAUGUGUUGUUCGAUCAGCCCAUAAUGCAAAUGACAAAAGCCGUGGCUACUCUCUAACUUUUCCAUUACAAACUUUAACUAAUGCUUUCACAAUCGAUGGGUGACCACGUUCGCUUUUUGCAUUCCCUUCUGGAUUAUAAGUAGUAGUCAGUGAUAGUUUAACUCCAUAUCUUUCAAAGAACUUACGAGCUUCUUGUGCAUUUAGUUCUCCAUGAUCUGCAGUGAUUUUUCCUACGCAUCCGUAGCGGCAAAUGACAUCUUCAAGAAAAAACCUACAAAUUCCCUCUAUAGAUUUUGUCCUCAAUGCUCUUCCUUCUACUUGAUUUGAUAAAUCUUCACGAACUAAAACUAAAUAUCUCAUCUGCCAUAACCCAACUGGCAUGAUAACCAAAUCAACAACCCAUUUAAAAUGAAUAGCCAGAGGAUACGUAGGAUGAAGACCAUCUCGAUGUCGGAUAUUAGAAUACAAUUGACAGAUUUCACAUGACUCUACAAAUAAAAGCACAUCUCGAUACAUAUUUUUUGACCAAUAUCGUUCCUUGAGUUUAGCAAAAGUAGCCCAGAUUCCUCUAUGCCUUGCCCAUAAACUAUCAUGGAACUUCUUUAAUAAUUUUAGUUUUUCUUCCUUUUUGCCUAUCACUCGUUGUAGUAUUCCAAUUCCUUUCUUUGGUCUCUUCCAUAAGAAUCCAUCUCGAAGCAAAAAUCCAUAUGAUUUUUUUCUUAUUUGUUUGAAUUUUUUUGUAGACCAAUUUCCCUGCUUAGUCAAGGUAUUCAAGUAAUGACCAAUAUCCAAUAAUUCUCCUUCAUAAGAUUCUUCAAGAAAUAGCUUAUCUUCUCUGUUGAGAUUUGAUAUUGAAUAGAAUUUCAAUCCGACGUCAUCAAUGUCUUCAACCAUUUUGUCCUCCCUCUCAUAUCUUGCUCGAGAUAGCAUGUCUACUACUAAAUUGUCCUUCCCAGUAACAUGCUUAAAUUCUAAAUUUAGUGACUUAAUAUAAGCAAUCCAUCUCAACAUUACAAUAUCUGGCAUUGAACAGUUAGUAAUCAUUCCAAGCAAUGGCAAGCAAUCUAUUUCAAUUACUACUACUGCCCCAAUCAAAUAUUCCUUUUCAGCUUUCAUAGCCGAAACAACUCCCCAAAGUUUUCUUUUGACUUGCGAGUAUACACGCUGACGAAUACUUAAAACUUUAGCUCCAAAUCGAACUGCAAAUCUAUUCCCACUUGAAUCAUCUUGACCCACAGUCCAUCCAAUGGCAAUUGGACUAGCGUCCACAGUAAGAAUCACUAGUCUAUUGCACUUAUAAUCAACCUUCCUCAAUAUUGGAGGUGACAUCAAUAAUUUCUUCAAUCUUUGCAUUGCCUGAAUAUGCCUUUCUUUCCAUUUAAAACAGUAGCCCUUGCAUAACAGUUCAUAUAAUGGGUCCGCUAUGUGAGCAAAACGAGGGAUCCAGAUUCGAUAAAAUACACAUGCACCUAAAAACCUGCAAACCUCUGUUAAAGAAUCACAAUCCUCUUUCAUCCUUCCAAUUGCAUCAACUUUAGUCGGAUCUGGUUUUCUUCCGUAAGAUCCACAUAAAUGUCCAACAAUCACAACCUCUCGUACUCCAAAUACGGACUUCAUACCCGAUAAUGUAAGAUGAACUUCUCCAAGCCGAGUUAAAAUCUUUUCACAAUCUUGUAUAUGAUCAACAACAUAUUUGCGACACCCCCUCUUAUCUAAAGUUUCAUCCUUGUCUCCUUCUCUCUACCCUUUUAUAGGAACAUCAUCCAGAAAAGGCAUAGUCUUCUCCGGAAUAAAAUCUCUCAAUAACUUAUUCAUCCCAUUCAUCAUAUGCGCAACUGAGUUGGUCGCGCCUUGAGGAAGAGUGCACAUUCUAACCAAUUCAAGUGGUGUCCUCAUUGUCGUCAUAUCUCUACUUCCUUCGGCAAGUUGAAAUUGAUCAUAACCUGAAUACAAGUCACCCAUUGAAUAGAUCACCCUUCCAACAAACGCCUCAGCAAAUUCAUCUACAAUAGGUCCAAUUUCUGCAUUCCUGACAAUUACUGCAUUCACCGGUUGCAUAUCUUGAAUAAACCGUAGUGAUCCAUUCUUCUUAGGUACCGUAAACCAUCGACUAGAAUACGGUGCAAAUGACGGUUCCAAUAUUUUUACCUUCAUCUUUUCUUUUAAUAGUUCCACUAAUUUAGGUAAAUGUGCCCUCGGUACUGGAAUCGGUCUUAGAUUCUAAAGUACAUGCAGUACAAUGAAGAUAACUAUAGGUGUUAUAAUAUUUGGAUCCACACACCCAAUUUCAUGAGAUUCGAAGGCAAACGAUCUACCUUGUUUAGCCAACAUCUUUUUGAAGCAAGUAAUUUCCUCUGGCAAUAAAGAACCAUCAGAACCAAUCUUCAAUUCUUCAAAAGCCUCUUUAGUAAACUGAUGUCCAAUACUCAUUGGAUCUCUUAAACUUGCUUCUUUUGAUGCUUCUCCCGUUUGUUCUUUAGAAUCUUCUAGUAAUGGUCCGACAACAGGCUUUACCUUCUUAUCUGCCAUUUUAUAUCUCGUCUCUACAGUGACUUCUGGUGCUUGAAAAGAUUCAAGUAUGGUAUAAACCUCUCUUGAAUGAAUCUCAACAAUCUUAUCAUUAUCCCCUAACCCAAUAGAUGUAAUCAAUUCCAAUGAAUCUUCCAGUCCAUUUUCUUCAUAAACACCUAAAAUCCUCUCAUCAUCUUGCAAUGUACCUAACUUGCGUAAUUCUCCUUCAAUUUUAUAUAAUCUUUUUCUUUCUUUCCUUUUAAAAUCAUUAACUUUCUUAUACAUAAUAUUUCCAUUCUCCAAAAUACCAAUAAAACUCGCAUCAAAGGUACCUUCAUCUCAUGAGAGUACCUCCUCUUUUGUACCUCCAUAAUCUCGCUUUACAGUAGUACCUCUCCAAAAUCCUUAAAUCCUUCAACAAUCUUUGGCAAUGGUUUCUCUCUCAAUCUAUCUCGAUUCUGUUCAUGGUUAAGAGGUACAAUUAGAAAUUGUACAACUUUCCUCCCAUCUUUGCUACAUACCCUUGCAUAAGCAGAACCAUCGUCAAGUACUUUUGUUUCCAUCCGUGUUGCCGUAAUAUAAGGUUGUCCUAAAAUCAAUGGAUAAGACAUUGUAUCUUGAACAAAGAAAUGUUGCUCCAUCGCAACAUCUCCAAUCCAAAUUUUGACAUCUGGACAAGUUCCAUAUAAUUCGCCCCAUGUGUUAUUAGCUGCUCGUAUUGUCCAUCCAUGUUCCAUAUUAAUUGGCCAUUUUUGCUUCUUAUAAAGAUCUUUAGACAUGAGAUUUAUUUCAGAACCAUGGUCGACUAAAGCAACAAUUGGUUCUUCUAUAUCUCCUACUUUCACUAAUACCUCAGUAGUUGCCCUUGUCCAAUGCUUUCGAGUAUAAUGGCUCAAAGUUUCCAUUUUCUUAUCACUAUAAUCUUCGAAACGUACUCGUUGAUUAUAUCCAUUCUUUUCAUUUGUUGGUUGCUUGUAACCAAUAUCAACCUCUUCUUCAUCUUUAUAUAUUCUUGUAUCAAUAGCAUGACUCAUUCCAGUUUCACCCAUUAAUUGCCUCUUUCGAUUAAUACUAUCAAUGAUAACAUCAUGAAACUNNNNNNNNNNNNNNNNNNNNNNNNNNNNNNNNNNNNNNNNNNNNNNNNNNNNNNNNNNNNNNNNNNNNNNNNNNNNNNNNNNNNNNNNNNNNNNNNNNNNCCAAGACUUCUUUCAAUGUGAAUUCCACCUUAGCAUUAAUAUACGUUCUUCAACACCCCUUUCAAAUUUGUUGCCGCUUCAAUGUCAGAAAGUAGCUUAUAAGCAAUUGAUUUUCCCUUAUCUUUUGUCUCCCUUGUUUUGUCUUCCAAUGAUGCUGAGGUAUCUUUUACAGGCAAUUCUUGUGAAGUUGCCUCCCGAGCCUUGUCUCCUCGAGUUUGCUUCUUAGAAGAAUUUCCUUCUCUCGUAUCAUCAAAAUUUCCUCGUCUCUUUUCUUCCAUCAAAGCUUUAUGUUGGCUCUUAGCAAUAUAUGCAUGAAUUGAAAGAGACUCAACAGGAUCCUCCCAACCUAUUGCACCUCGUAUUGUAGCUGCAGUCCACAAUAAUGCUUCUCGAGGUAAUUUCCCUUCUUACAUUGUAGAAAUGGAAGAAGCCCAAAACUCACUAGUUUCCGUUCUUCCACCAAGGUCAUCAUCUACUCUAGCACCAUAACUUGCACUUUCUCGUGUUGCUGUUUCAUGCUCUUUUAAGUAAUCUUGAACCAAUGCUCUCAUUCCUCCUUUGCCAAAAUUGGUUUGAAGAAGAUCCUUCCUAUCUUUUAAUGCUAUCUUCCCAUCUUUCCAGCAAAUAAUUCCUUGCCAUAUCAUAUUAUUAAAUUCAUUGCAAUCUUUUCUAGUGUGUGAAGCAUUAUCACACUAAAUGCAUCUUUGUACAUAUCCUUGUUUCGAAACAUUCUUCAAAUUAUUUGUAAAAGUAUUCUCUUCAAGUCUUGCCAAUUUGAUUUGAAGAUCUCGUAUUUCUCGUGUAAUUUCUUCCAUCUCCAUAUCUGCUUUCUUUGAUAAGGAUGUCGAAGGUUGAACUAUAGGCAUUGUUGGUGGUGUUGUACGUACUGGAGCUUUGGGUGCUUGUACUGUUUUUGGAAUAUUUCUCCUAUCCUUCCUCUUUUCUCUUUUUGCAAGCAACCCCACCGCAUCUUCAACAUUCUUCCACUUUAUUGUCAAUCCUUCAUCUUCCUCUUUGUCUUCAAGAAGGAGUUCCAAUUUUUCUUACAAUUCUUGAUCAGCAGCUUGAAGAAAUAGAUCAACUUUGUUCGGCUCCAAUGUCAAUUUUUCUACCUUCGAUAAUUGAGAGUAUUGCCUCUCAAAUUUCCUUAGUAGCUCUGUUGCUUCCAAAUUCUUAUUAGGUCGUUCAAUCCAUUCCAGAAACAGCUUCUUAAUAAUACGAUCAGCAUCUUCCAAGAAAUAUUUGUCUUUCAAUGCAUGUGAAAAAACCUCCCAUGAAUUCCCAUAAUGAUCCGUAAUCGAUGUAAUAUGGUCUCUUAUCUCCGGUAUCAUGGCAAGUCCAAAUAAUUCAACCAUUUUCUUCUCAAAAACCCGAUUUAAUUCCAUUUCAUGAACAUAACAUCUUAAAUACCUUGAAAUAUUCCUUCCAUCAAAUUGAUCAAUUUUAUUGACCAUUGCUUACAAUGCUUUGGUUGCCAAAGCUUCUUUUCGAUCAUUGCUUUGCUGUUGCUACAUUGAUAAUGAGAAGGCUUGAAACAUACUAGCAAUAGACGGAUCCAUGUGCAUACCUUGUCCUUUAAAAGAACCCCUACCAGAAACUCCUUCCAAAGAUCCUUCAAAUUUUUUAUUUUUGUUCUCCGUAAAAAUAAAAAUAAAAUCAAACGAAAUCCAAUACCUUCUAUCUCAAGCUUUUACGUUGAGUUCACCACUUAUGUCAUAUUACGUGCUAUCUUGCUUGAGAACGUACCGGGCGUCUGGCUAUAGGAGGUAGUAUGGUGUUUCGCUAGUAUUCAAGCAGUCUAUCGGUUUUUGACUAUUAGAAUAUAAACAACUACAAGAAUAUACCGUAAAUCUAUACGGAUGCCCUUUGACUACUCACCAAAAUCCUUUUUGCCUUGGGUGGUAGGUCUCUUGACGUUACAAUGAACCUCGAACAACUCAAACUGCUAAUCUUUGAUACCGCUUUAUAUUCACGACCUUGUAUCCAGUAACUGUCUCGUUAGAUUAACUCAAUAAAUUUCAUUCACUCCGCAUACUCAAUCCUAUAGACACCUUUUUAAUUCUUCAUCACAAACGUAACUUGAUUUCACAAAAUAGUCAAGAGUAAUCAUACCCACUUUAUUAAAAUCCCGAUUCAGUAGUACAACACUGACUUGAGCAACGAUUGCCUCAGUCUUUGCAAAAUCCUAUGAAGAAAAAAAACCCAAUUCUCUGUCUUUUUUCUCUGCCCCGAAGCAUGAAGCUCUCUCCUUGAUUCUUCUCAAAAAACCCUAUUCUUUCCAUUCAUUUCUUAACCUAUCGUCCUCUUUAACUCUAAUUCUCCCUUCUUUCAAAUCCUAGCCUCUGAAUUUCUUCAAUCGUCCAUCUUGGAUCUGGAAUUGGCUCCGCCGUCAGAGCUUCUCCUCCAUUUUUAUCUUUAAGAGAUCUUUUUACCGAAAGGACCUUCCCGGAACGGCAGAAAGGAUGGAACAACCUGAAACGGAAUCGAAAUCCUCGUAAUCGGGACUACAUUGAGUCGUCCGACCAAUUCAGGUUUCAUAUUGGCUAAGAUGCCCGUUGUAAGACCUGGAUGUUCCCGUAGUAAAACCGCAUUGGGUUGCCCGAUCAAGUCAGGUCUCAUAUUGGGUAAGAGGACCUGGAUUGGAUGUCUUGAAAUUGGAUCCAAUUGGCUCUUCGAACUAGGCUUACCCGUCGUUGAAUUAGUCCUUUCCCUUUUUGCUGACUCCCAUUAUUGGAAUCGAACGGAGCAUUUCAGUAUGCCCCGGCUGACUGUAAUGGGGUGACUGACCUUGGCCUCUCAGUAUUUGUACUGGAUUUGGUCAUUGCUCACAAUAUUUGAGGUAACUGAAUAUUAAUAAAAGUCCUCUUUCUUUAUAUUUUCAUAGUAUACUCGUGUUACAACAUGACAAUGGGAGUUAAAUGGUACAAAUUGAAAAUACCAAUUGCAGGGAAGCGAGUAAAAAUAUUUAAACGAAGACACACGGAGAUGAAUAUGGAAGACCUUAAUGAAGGUAUAGAGAUUCCGCAGCAAGAAGAUGAAAGUGAUUUGGAUAAUGAAGGUGAUAAAGACGAACUAGACAAAGAUGUAGAGAAUAUAUUAUAAAUCAAAUAGCAAUUGGGUAAAUUGGUGCAUAUCGAAGGAUGCACAGAUUCAGAGGGUGGAUGUCGUGUUGUAACUUGAGUAUACUGCAAAAAUAUAAAGAAAAGAGACUUUUAUUAAUAUUCAGUUAUCUCGAAUAUUGGGAGCAACAACCGAUUCCAGUGCCAAUAUUGAGGGACUAGUUCAGACACCCCAUCAUAGUCGGUCAAGACAUACUUACCAAUAACGAAAUGCUCUGUUCGAGUCCAAUGGUAGGAGUCAACAGAAUUGAAAGGACUAAAUCGAUGACUGAGCAAGCCUGACGUGAAGGACCAAUUUGACCCAAUUACGAAAACAUCUAGGUCUUACUACGGGCCUCUUAGCCAAUAUGAGACCUGAUUUGGUCGAGUGACUCAAUGUGGUUCCGAUUACGAGGGUUUUGAUUCUAUUUCAGGCUGUCCUGUUCUCUGUGACGUUUCAGGGAACAUUGUUUCUGAAAAAAGAACCUUUUAAAAGGCAAAAAAUGGAGGAGAAAGCUCUGACGACGAGAACCAAUUUUGGAUCCAAGACGAAAGAUUGAAGAAAUUUAAAGGCAAGGGUUUGAGUGGGGGAGAAUUAGGGUUUUAAGGGAGAAGAGCUAGCUUCAUGCUUCGGGAGAAAAAAGACAGAGAAUUGGGGUUUUUUCUUUUUUUUUUCCUUCAUAGGGUUUUGGAAAGACUGAGGCAAUCGUUGCUGAAAGUCAGUGUUGUACUGGUGAAUUGAGGUUUUAAUGAAGUGGGUGUGAUUACUCUUGAAGCAUAACUGUUUUAUGAAAUCGAAGUUACGUCUGUGAUUGAAGAAUUAAAAGGAUGUCUAUAGGAUUGAGUAUGCGGAGUGAAUGAAAAUUUUUGGAUUAAUCUAACAAGACAAUCAAUGGAUACAAGGUCGUGAGUAUAAAGCGAUAUCGGAGAUUAGUAGAUUGGGUUGUUCGGGGUUCUCUGUAAUGCCUAGAGACUUACUGGCUAGGGCAAAAAAAAUUUCGGCGAGCAGUCGAAGGACAUCCAUAUAGAUUUACGAUAUAUUCUUGCAGUCAUUUAUAUUCCAAUAAUCAAAAACCGAUAGACUGCUUGAAUAUUAAUAAAUCUCCAUACUACCUUCUAUAGCCAGACGCUCAAUGCGCUCUCGAGUAGGAAAGCAUAUAAUACGACACCGCACUAAUUGACAAGAUAUUCUAAUUUAUUUCAGCGCCGCCUUGAAUUUAACACUUCUUCUUCUUCAAACUCUUUAUUAUUGUCCACUUCUAUAGGAGGAGGUGGAGCUUAUCUUCUUCUUGAUAUAUCUACUAUCUUGUAUGGUUUAAGAAGAGACAUGUGAAAUAUUAGAUGGAUUUUCAUUGACUUCGGUAUAUGUAAACAAUAUGCAAUUAGAUUAAUUUGUGCAGAAAUAGAAAAUGGUCCAAGCUUUCGAUAAUCCAACUUAUCAUAAGAACAAGUGGUCUUGAUAUUGCAACAAAGUAACCAUACCUUAUCACCCAUGUGGAAUGGUGGUUGUUUCUUUUGAUAGACAUCCACAUUGACCUUUUAUUGUUCUUGAGCUUCUUUUAACUAUAUCUUCAUCGUUGCAUGUAGCUCUAACAAAUGAAUUGCCAAAUAUUUUGUAGUAAGAUUAUCAACUUUUGAAAAGUCAAAAGUAUCAAGUCGUGGAUGAUAACCAUAAUUGGAAAAAAAAGGUGUUUGUUUUGUAGAAGAAUAUAUCGUGUUAUUGUAAACAAACUCUGCCAAUGGCAAAAGAGUUGUCUAAUCAUCUUGUUGGUAGUUAAUGGUACAUCUUAUAUACUGCUCCAAAACUUGAUUAACAUGCUCCGUUUGUCCAUCAGUUUGAUCAUGGAAUGCGGAAGAUAGUUUUAUAUCUACUUUUAGAAUCUUAAAAAGAGUCUGCCAAAAACUUGAUACAAAUUGAGUUCUUCUAUUUGAUAUAAUAUCCUUGGAUAAUCUAUAAUAGCAAUAGAUAUUGUCAAGAAAGAGCUUAGCUGUUUCUUCACUUGUUGUAGAUUUUGUAUAUGAUACAAAAUGUGUUAUCUUGAUAAAACGAUCUACUAUUACAAAUAUAGAAUCAUAAGAACCUGAAAUUGGAAGAUCCGUAAUGAAACCUAUAGAAACAGAAGACCAUGGUUGUUUUGAAAUGAGUAAUGGCUGAAGAAGUACAUAAGGUCAAUGACAAGGAGUUUUUGAUUUCAAGCAAACAUCACAAGAUUGUACAAAAUCUUUGAUUGUUUUCCACAUUUGGAGCCACCAAAAGUCCUUGAAUAUUAGUUCUAAAGUUUUAUUGUACUGAAAAUGUCCUGUUGCUGAAAAGUCAUGACGAGCUUGAAGAAAACGUAAUCGAGCUUCACCUUCUGGAACAUAUAGGCAUCCCUCAAAAUAUAAUAGAUUCUUCUUGAAUUCAAACUUGGAAGUAUCAUGAGACUUUGUGGAUUUUCUUUAAUAUCAUAAAUGAGAGGAUCAGAAGACAUACUUGACUAAACUUGCUUAAUGAAAGUUGAAUCAAUAAUUAGUAUUGAUUUUAUUGCUCAAAGAUGAAGAUAUUCUAGCUUCAAGAGAAUUAUUUGUUGUUGUUUGAAAGCAGCAUCUCCUUCUUUUGGUGCAAGAGAAGAUCAUCUAGAGAGUGCAUCCGACAAGCCUUGUUAUUUUCUUCGUUGAUAAGUAAUCUUGAAUUCGAAUCUUGACAAAGAUAUACUCGAACUGGCUUGGCAACAAUUCAAAACACAUGCUGAUAUAAAAUAUUUAAGGUUCUUGUGAUCCGUAUACAUUGUGACUCAGCUAGAAGCACCUUCUAAAUAAUGGUGCCAUUCUUGAAAUGAAUCCAUGAUUGUAAAAAGUUCUUUGUCGUGGAUCUCGUAGUUGAUCUCAGCUAUUAAAUUUUUUUUGGAAUGAAAAACUAUUGGAUGAAGUUUAUCAUAUGUCCCCAUUUCUGACAAUACAACAUCCAAAAUAAAGUCUGAUAUGUCUGUUUCCAUAAAAAAUGGCUUAGAAAAAUCAACACGAUACAAGAUUGGUGCAGAAAAAAAGGUUGUCUUCAAAGCUUCAAAUGCUACUUCCGCUUCUUGAUUCCAUUGAAGUUUGUCUUUACAAGUUAAACGUGAAAGUAGAGCUACAACUUGAGAGAAGACUUUGAUGAAGAUCCAAUAGUACUUGGCAAAUCCCAAAAAGUAUUGGAUAUCUCUUAUCGUUUUUGGGAUCUUCCAAUCCAUAAUAGUUUGAACUUUCUUAGGAUCCAUCAUAAGUCCAUCAUUUGAAAUGAUAUAUCCUAAGAAGUCAACUUGAGUAGUGUGAAAUACUCACUUUUCUAUCUUGGCAUAGAGUCCCCUAUCUCUUAAUUUUUGUAAUAUAUAACGAACAUAAAUUUCAUAUUCUUUUAUGUUCUUAGAAUAGAUCAUGAUGUCUUCUAGGUAACAGACAAUAAAAACAUCUAAAAACUCUCAAAAGACAUCAUUCAUUAGAUGUUGAAAUGCUGCUGGUGCAUUUGUAAGUCCAAAAGGCAUGAUGUUGUAUUCAAAAUAUCCAUACCUUGUUCGUAACAUUGUCUUCCAUUCAUCUCUUUCUUUGAUGCGUACCAGAUUGUAUGCUCCUCGUAGAUUUAUUUUUGUAUAGAUCUUAGUAUUAUUCAACUGAUUAAAGAGUCCAAAUAUUAAAGGUAGGGAGGUACUUGUAUUUUAUAGUGAUUCUGUUGAGUCCUUGAUAAUCGACACACAUCUACAAUGAGUCGUCUUUUUUCUUCACAAAUAAAAUUGAAGCUCCUACUGGAGAUUUGGAAUGGCAUUUAAAGUUCUUGGCCAAAUUCUCUUCAAUAUACUCCUUGAAUUCAGCUAAUUCAUUUUGAGAUAAAUUGUAGAUUGGUCCAAAUGACAGUUGUACUCAUUCUUGAAGGUCAAUUAAGCAAUCAUAGGAACGAUGUUCUAGAAGAGUAUCCGCAUUCUUCUUCUCAAAUACAUUUUAAAAAUCUUGAUAUUGAUUUGGAAUACCACUUGAAGUCUUUCCACUAGUAGAAACAUGUGUGAUAUAAAUGACAUAAGGUGAUCCUUCUUUUGCAGCAUGCAAGAAAGCUCUUGCACCUAUAAAUAUAGAUUUAAUUAUACUGGACUUAUGACUUUCUACUUGAUUAACUACGCUCUUAAUUAUGCUUUCAAAAAAUUCAAGACUAUGAGAAGUUCAAUCUAUUUUAGGAUUAUAUUUUUCUAGCUAUGAUAAACCUAAAAUGACUAGAUUAGAAGGAGAUUUAAUGAUAUUAAAUAUUAUAAAGCUACUAUGACCAUUAGUUACUAUUUCUAUAGGAAAGGUUUUAUGAAUAACAUCUCCUGAAGAUAACAAACGACUAUCUAUGACUUCUACAUGAACAGGUUUAAUUUUCUUCACUAAAAAUAUGCUAUGUCUUUUAACAAAUUCUUCAUCUAAGAAAUAUGCUGAGGCUCUUGAAUCUAGCAAGGCAGAGGUUUUGUGAUGUUUAGGUCCUAGAAUAACAUUUAUCGUAAAACAUGGAGAGGGUUCUGAGUAGAGGAUAGGACCUUCACUAGGUGUUAUACAAGGUUCCAACCGCACGGUUCCUAUUGUAGCUGAACAAAUUUGUUUUUUGACAUGUUAUAUUUUUUGAUCGCCGUACUCCUCAUUUUAUGGUUGCGUUGUUUUUUUGGAUAAUUUUGAGUAGUGUGCUUAGGUUCUCCAUAAUAUAAGCACAAUCCUUUCUAAUGAUGACGAGUCUUUUUUUGCUUAGUAAGAAGUUUGAAAUGUACUACAUUAAUUUGUAUAUCCUCUACUUUCGAAUGUAUGUGUUGAAGAGAUGUUGGUGGUGCCAUUGAAUUAUAGUAAUAUUAAGAUCCACUUAUACGGUUCUCAGAUCGAAAUUAAAAAAGACAAUUGUCGCACUUAACAACAAAGUCAAUUGCUUGAUUCAAUGUUUGAGGAUCAAGUGAGUUGAGUAAUAAUUUUUUUACCUCAUAUUGUAAUCCAUAGAAAAAUUGGCUAAUAAGUGCAGCAUCAUCCCACUUGAUAUCAAUUACAAGUUGUCAAAAUUAUAAAGCAUACAAUGUUACUGAUCGAUUGUCUCGUCGCAAAAUAUGGAUCUUAUUGGUUGUAAUACGAAUUGCAUCAUGUUCUCCAUACAUGGAUCAAGACUCCACCAAAAAAGCCUCUAGUUAAUCCAAUAUUGGAUCUCGUCAUUCAAAAAAAGAUGAAAACCAUGAUAAUUCUGAACCUGAAAGAAGCAUACCAAUGAAUCUAACUUGCGAUUCUGGAGUUGAAUAGCUUUGGGAUUGAAGUUCAAUCACAAGUUAUAUUUGAUUGAUAAAUCGUCUAAACUUUGAUCUGGUGCCAUCAAACUUCUCGAGUAGGGCAAUUCUUAGUUCUCUAACAUUGGAAGGGCAUUCUUCCAUAGGAAAAAGGAUAUGAUUUAAUACAGAUGUUGAAGCAGCUCCAAUCAUUUCUAUAUCUUCACUUCUUGCCAAUCUUAUUGCUCCUUGUGGUGGUAAAUUGAGUUGAUGCAUCGUAAGCAUUAACUUCCUCAAUUGCUCUUGGAUUUAUGCCAUUGCAUUCUUUAUUUCAGCAAGUUCUACCAUAAUAACACUCAAAAAAAAGAAGAUGUAUAACAUCACUCAAGAAAAAUAGAAGAAAGGGCUUGAGAAUAAAGAAAAUACUAAGGAUAAUAUCAAUUUAGAAGAAGGUAAUCCGCAACUUCUAAUAUGCUUAUGUCUUAUCAAGAGAAAGGAGUAAUCCACUCUUAAUCAAGAUUAGACAAAGCUCUAAUAUUGUAAGUGUACUCUUGUCAAUCUGUCAAGGAUAAGAACAUGAUAAAAAUAAAUAAACAAGUGAGACUUCUCUCAAAGAAGAUGACAAAAUAGAAAUAACUUGAUAUGUAUAUUAAGAAAGAAAUCGGAAUAGCUAAUGCCUAAAGCCAAGAAAACUAGAGACCAUUGAAACUAGAUUGGAAGCAAGAAAGGAGUUGAUAAGAGUAAAGAAGGCUUCACUUUUGUCUCUAUAUAUACUAUCUAAUUAGGGGCUACGUGGCAAUAUUCUAUAGGACCUCCAAUAUGUGUUGAAUUUUUAGGACACAUGCCUUGACUUACAAGGCAAGUUUUUCUACGUGUAGGCUACAUAGUUAACUUGGUCUUCAAGCUAACAACAUGUAUGGCACAUGGCCAACUUCUUGACCACCGUUUCGAAUCCAAAAAGUCAAUUAAAGACACCUAUAAAGUCAAAGAAGUAUCUAUAAAGCUUCUAAGAAGCUUCCAUAGCAAAUAUUAUAGAAUUAACUUACUUUUACUUACUUUUACUUACUUCUACUUAUUUAUACAUGUAAUUAUUGGCUUACAUGUGUAUGUCCACAAUACCUAUGUACUACACCUUCUAUUGAUCCUAACCUUUGUUUUAUUGAUACUCUUGAUGAUUGCCCAUUUUCUUUAAAUUUUGAAAAUUUUAUUUAUAAAUCUCUCAUCUUUUGUAUAAUUUCAUUAAUGUCCAUUUCUUUUUUCUUUGAUGUAACCAUUGAAGAUUGAAUCAUAGAUGUAAGAUUGAUAAUGGACAUUUUUACUUGAGAUACUUAUAAUGGUCUUUGAAUAUCCAUCCUAUCUUUUCUCUUUUUUCUUUUUGCAAUCAAUCCUACUGCUUCUUUUGCUUUCUUCUAAUUUGUUGUUAAUCUUUCAUCUUUUUCUUUAUCUUCAAGCAAGAUUUUCAACUUCUAUUGCAACUCUUUGUCAUUUGCUUGAAGAAAAAGUUCUAUUUUACUUGGAUCUAAUAAUUAUUUUUUUCUUUAAUAAAUAAGAAUAUUACUUUUUAAAUUAUCUUAAUAACUCUGUUGCUAGAAGAUCCUUCUUUGGCCUUUUAAUCCAUUCAAAAAAUGACUUAUUUGUAACUUUGUUACUAUCUUCCAAGAAAACUCAUUCUUCAAUGCUUGAAAACAUUUCUCCCAUAAAUCUCCAAAAUGUCCUAUAAGGGACUUUACUUGAUUUCUUAUCUUUAAUUUAGUAGUUAGUUCAAAUAAUUGAACCAUCUCCCUUUUUGAAUCAUGCUUCAAGUCCAUUUUUUUUACCUAGCAUCUUAAAUACUUUGUAACGUUUUUUUUUUUUUUUUUUUUUUUUAAAUUAAUGAAUCUUAUCCAUGAUUGCCUGUAAUGCUUUAUUUGCCAUACUUUCUUUGCAAUCUUUAACUUGUUGUUGUUGCAUUAAUAAGAUAAAAGCCUAAAACAUACUUACGGAGUUAGAAUCAAAAUAUAUACCUUGUUGUCUACUAAUAUCUCUACCUGUAGCUCCAAUUGAAGCAUCAUCCAUGCUCCUCCUUCAACUCUCUUGCCUUCCUUCUCUAUAAUUUAAAUAAUGCAAGAAUACCAAAUACCUUCUACCUCAAGCUUUUCAUGUUGGAUUUACCAAAUAUGUUGGAUUUACCAAAUAUAUUGUAUUACAUGUAGUCUUUCUCAAGAAUGUACUUGGCACCUAGUUGUGGAAGAUAGAAUUAAAAUUGCAACAACAAAAUCCUAAUUCUAAUAGAAUACUAAAUAAACUUUAAUUAAAACUUAACAAUGCUGAACAUGCUUUAAUCAAAUUUAAAAGAAACCUUAAAGAAAUUACAAAUCAAACAAUAAGAAAUCUUAAAGAACUUCAAAAGAAAUCUACAAUAAAACUGAAAAGAAAUCCUAAAAAAUCUAAAAGAAAUAUUAGAAUAAUCACAAAUAUAUCUAAAAUAAAUCUCAAUCAAGUCCUAAUUUAAUCCUAGUUGAAAUCCUAUUAGACUUCAAUCAAACCCUAGGCCAAAUUCUACAUCCUUAGCAAACCCUAAAUCCUAAGUAAACUCUAAAUCAUAAAUCCUAAGCAAAUCCUAAAUCCUAAAUCCUAAACAAUAUCUUCUUUUAAAAUUGGACUGAUUAUCUGUAAAAUACAUGAUUUAUAUAUAUCUUUAUUUUAUUUUUAGAAUAUAUAUAUAUAUUUAGAGUAGAUAUAUUUAUCAUAUAUAUAUAUAUGAUAAAAAAAGAUAUUAUAUAAAUUAUAGAAUAUAUUUAUUUAAUUAUAUGUAUAUAUAUAUAUAUAUAUAUAUAUAUUAAUACAAGAAAGUUAUGUAUAAUAAUAUUCCAUGUAUGUGUAACUUUGUCUUUACACUUCUAAUUUAAUUGAGUUAAAAUAAUUAUAUAAUUACAGAUGUGUAUUAUUAUUAGUUUUUUUAUUUAACCAUUAUCUACUGAAACUUAUCUUGUGAUAAUAUAAGUGCAUGUAAGCUUUAUUAUAUAAUAUCUAAAAAUUUCCAUAAUAAAAAAAUUAGAUUUUACAGUUUGAAGAUAGUAUUCUAAAUAAAUAAACACACAAUUGAUUGCACCACAUUAUAGUCCAUUGUUUUAGUGCUCUCUGUGAACAAAUAAAAAGAAAAUAGAACAAAAAAGAAAAAAAGAACAAGUUCUUAUAGAAAUGGCAUGUAAGUACAUUUUUUCUAUUUCUUUUUCUUUUUUUCUUUUUCUGGUUUUUUAUUUAUUGUUUACUACACUUAUGUUAUCGCCUGUCCAACCUUAAUUUGAUUAAUAGCACCCCAGACUGAGUACAAUAAAUUUCGACAUGUAAUCUGAAAUUAUUGGAAGUUACUAAGCUCUCUGAGACACAACAAAACAACGACUGGACACUCUCACGAUUUCUAACAAUCUACACAAAGACGAGAAAAUUUAGGAACUCAAAUGAACAACCAUAAACACUACAGCACACUUGAACAAUCUAGUAAAAGUUUACACUACAAUUCCACCACUUCCCUCUGUGGUGAGCUGCCUCCAGUGACGGCGGGUCAGUCCGUGGACAAAAAUUCGUUAACUAUGUUGAUUUCCUGACUGGGAUCCACUGUGGGACUUAUCAUCUCCGAGAGUCCGUUUUCUGGUCAAUGAGUUCUCUGCCACAAAAAAGCAGAAAAAAAGGGACAUGACCAGGAUAAUUCUGAAUUGUGGUGAGGAAGGCUCACGAAGGAAUCGGAAAGAUAGGAGGAUGGUCCGGAGGCAUGCUUCCGAACCAUGUCUCCGCAUUCCCUUGCGGUACAUAAUCACUUCAGUUUCCGCUCGACGUUAUCUUAGUGAUAUCCAUUGCACGCAGUGCCUGCCCAUCGGCUCUCGCUCGUGCUCUCCAGUGCGCUCUCCAAGUUUAGGGAGUCCGUAGCAAUGGCGUCUGCAGUGGCAUCGACGGUUGUGGCCCCAGUUGCCUUGGGUGGAGCCUCGUCCUGUGUGGGUGCCCCCUCUGAAUCCUCCUCUGUGAAGGCCUUCUCUGGUCUGAAGUCGGCGACCUUGUUCUCUGGCAAGACCCAGAAGUUGAGCUCCGUCCAGAAUGGCAGCCGCGUGCAAUGCAUGCAGGUAUACCAAUCUCAUCCUGAGCUUGUGUUUAUCUUCGGUCUCCACCUCUGAUUGUAUGCUCAAUCGGGGUUAUAACUGCACAACAGUGCUGUUUCUAAUGUUUGUGGGUGGAAAAGAUGAGGGAUUGUAAUCUAAACUUUCUCUUGAUCGGAAAAUCGGCACAUGUGUAGGUGUGGAACCCGAUCGGGCAGCCCAAGUUCGAGACCUUCUCGUACUUGCCCCCUUUGACCGAUGACCAGAUCGCCAAGCAGGUGGACUACAUGAUCCAGCAGAACCUGAUUCCCUGCAUCGAAUUCGACACUGUAAGUGCAUGCUCUACUUACCCGCCAUGUGCAAGGUCUAUUCUUUACAAUAGAUCAUCGAGCAUGGGCUCUUCCCUAGAUUGACUCUGCCAUGAUAAAAAUUAUCCCCAUGCCCUCAGCACAAACUCGGCAGCUCGUGUUUCGGAGAAGAGUGAGUUAACAACACGGAGAGUCUUGCUAAUGUGUGGCGCAUUGGUGUGUUGGGUCAGGUUGGAUCCGUGAGCCGCACCAACUUCUCCGGCGCGGGUUCCUCGGGUUACUACGAUGGGCGCUACUGGACCAUGUGGAAGCUGCCCAUGUUCGGGUGCACCGACUCUUCGCAGGUGCUGAGGGAGAUCCAGGAGUGCAAGUCGCAGUUCCCCAGCUGCUGGGUCCGCGUCUUGGGCUUCGACAGCAAGAAGCAGGUCCAGAUCUGCGGGUUCUUGGUCUCCAGGCCCAACUAGAUUAAUUGGCCGGUGGCCUAGGUAGCACUUGGUUCUUUUCAGUAGCGACAAGGUAGUCGUGUUUAUGUCUAACUAGUCGCAAUGUUGAGGAGGCUUGUACAGCGACUUGUUUAAUCCAAAGAAUCCCAGGGGCAACAUCUUGACAUCACAUGCUUCUGCAACCACGAAUGCUGUCAGUCAGUCUGUUAGCCACGCGACUUAGGAAGAGUUGGAUGUAUCGUUCAAGCGAUCUGUAGAUUGCGGAAACCCGAGUGGCACCAAAGCCUGGGGCUGCUGCUGUAGCAAAGCAGCGAUGCCCUAUUUCGUCACAACACUCUUCACACAACUCACACGACACAAACUGUGAAGUGAGCUUUGAGUUAUCCCUGCACAGAACACUUGCCAAAAGCAUUGGUACAGCAGCUCUAUGCGUAAACAGUGUGACGAUUUAUUUACGGUGACUGUCAUGACUCGAUCGUAGAGGAUGGUUGUAUACCGCUUCUGGUCAGCACUCCGUAGCAACUCCAUAUCAGCAUCUAGGUCCGUAUGGGGCAGCGCAUGAGAAGCUCAUGAGAAACUGUGUCGCAGCGUGUUCAUUGUCUUCACAAAUCAACAAAUCAGAAGUGCAAGAACUGAAAUUGGAGAAAGUAUCCAGAGAACCCACGUUUAUCCCAUUCGCAGAACUCGUACAGUCCAGUGACAAGACCCCCAACAACAAAUGCCACAAACAACGUCUAUGGUAAACUUCAUAGACCGUGGUCGCUCCAAAGCGGGGACUG
RNAcentral lists this long non-coding RNA (46942 nucleotides) under Physcomitrium patens. RNAcentral describes it as "long non-coding RNA (PPAT_LNC002030)". The record is from RNAcentral. Lineage: Eukaryota; Viridiplantae; Streptophyta; Bryopsida; Funariales; Funariaceae.